AAACAAAACUCUUUCUUUGGUUUGAGAUAAUUACUCAAAACUUAGCUUAAAAGCUCUCAUGGAAUCGAUGUUCCCUUUCUUUAUCAAAUGUGAAAACAUUUCUGACUCUUGGGAAUACUUAGUUCCCGUAUAAUCUUUGAAAAAAAGAACUUUUACUCUUAAUCUUUAGUCAACUCAAAGCUUAAGUCUUAAAACGAAGUUAAAACGUUUGUAAAAGACUUUUGAAAGACUUUAUAAACUUCUCUUGACUUGAUUCUUAACUUCGUAACUUGACUCUUAACUUUCCUUGAAUUAAAUUUAUGGAUUCAAGGAUUGUGAUUUGUAAUAGUUAGGAUCGCAUGAUGUUUAAGAGUGUUUUUAGAUAGUUAAACAUGAGAAACGAUCAAGAAAUCACUGUCUGGAAGCAAGUCCGCGAUGCGGAGAUGUAUUUAAGUAUUUGGUCUCGAAUAAAUUUGAGGCAGAAUGGUCCGUGACCACUCCGCGACGCGGAGAAAAUUUUGCCAAUCCUGAGGAAUAAGUCCGCGAUGUGGACCUUGUACCCAGAUUUGCACGACUUGUUCCUUCUUCGUUUUCUGACCCCAAUUCGCCUAAACUCAGUUCUUUUUCUCAAAUUCUCUUUAGAUUCAGAUACUUAGUAUGUAUAAACACGAAUAUUACUCAAAUUACUCAGGGAAACAAUAUUAUAACCUCAAGGAACUCCUCAAUCUCAACCUAACUCAAGAACGAAUGCCAAUUUAUAGAACACCAUUCAAGAUUCAUCAACUUUCAACUUUCUAGAAUGAACUUCGCUGAAAUAAACAUGAUUGGCACGUGGGUGAACGAACCCAACGCUAUGAAAGACUCACAUACCUUGUAGGAUCAAAUCCUUGGCGAAACUCGCAAUCAAUUCCUCACAAAGACGAUGAAAUCUUGUUUUUCUUCUCCUUUGCUUCUCUUUUCUCUUCUCGCAAAGCCCUAGCGUAAUUCUCAAUAGCGUAAACUGAAUUAACUCAGUUUAAGCCUCAAAUAUUUUUCUAAAAACGGAUUUAAUUAAUUGGGUAAUGAAAAGACCAUAAUGCCCUUCUAAAAUUCGGAUUAAACUUUCCUUAUUUGAACAACCUAACUUCAAAUGAGAAUAUCUCACUCAUAUGAACUCGGAAUUGCACAAACUCGGUGGCGUUGGAAAGAUAGUUCAAAGAUAUUUCCUACGGUAUCUUUUAGCACACCUAACUCAUCUUGAUCUAGGAGUUAUCUUCGUUUGAAGUUGACCAAAACUCAAACUUAACAUACUUAAUCAUUUUUCCAGAUUUUUCAUUCUUUCCAAAAUCAACUCUUUCUAAUUCUAGCUCUUCUUAGUUCUUUCAAAUAGCGAGAUGUUACAUCAAGUUUUCAAACAAGUUUUAAAAAAUUGUAAAAGACUUCUCAAAUUGACUGGAAAGAACUCUCAAGACUUUACUCUUAAAUCUACCUUGAAUUUGAAUUAUGAAUUCAAGGGUUCUGAUUCAUGUUAUUAAGUAUCUCUUGAUGUUUAGAUGUAGUUUACAGUAUUUAGAAUCAGAAAGGAGUAAACAUAUACUUUAAACGAACUCAGAUGGGACAAUCGACAGAAAAAUAGGGGGGGAAGGCAACCCUGGUGCACUGAGUGGCGCGGGGUGCCAGCUCCUCAACUACAUAACACAUUUCCUAGCACAUUGUUGGCGCGGCGCAUCAACCCCUACUCAAAUUUUUUCCAAUGAAUUUUCUUCUUCAAUUUUAUGCCCUAAUUCACCUAGAAUCGAAUGGUUUCUUCCAAACUCUUUUAGAUUCGAAUACCCAACAUUAGUAAACGAAAAUCUACUCAUAAACAACCCUUGAAUUCCUAUUCAUCUCAAAAACUCAUCAAAAUCUCAAUAAUCAAGAUUUAUGAAUGAAACUUCAAGAAUCUCAUUAGAUGGAUUAUCAUGGACAAAAUUAACUCAAGAAACUCAUGAUUGGCGUGUGGGUGAAUGAACCCAUCACUAUGAAUAACUUACAUGCCUUUUAGGGAUCAAACCCAUGGCGAAAUUUCUCGACAAAUCUCAAGAAUCUUGACGAACGCCAAGAACCUUCCCUGUUUUAUCUUCUUGAACUCCUUUCAAAACCCUAAGAGUAUUUCAGGAUUGUAAAAACUGAACCAAAUCAGUUUAAACCCCUAAAAUAUUACUAAAAAUGUUUAAACCUGAUAGGGUAAGGAAAAGACCAAAAUACCCCUAAUUAAUUUGGGUAAAUUUCCUUAACUGGACAUGUUGACUUCGAACGAGCAUAUAUCCCUCAUCUGAACUCGAAACUUAACAAACCCGAUGACGUUGGAAAGAUGAUUCAAAUAACUUUCAUUUGAUAUCUUAUAAUCCACCUAACUUGUCACGCCCCGAGCCUACACCCUGGACGUGACUGGCACUCGAGAACCAUUGUUGGCUCCAAGCAAACCCUUGGCCUGACUUACUACUCAGCGGAAUACUUAACUAACAUGAAAUAGUCUCAGAAGAUAAACUCAUGCAAUAAACUCAGAAUGUCUUAAAAGAGACAUUUAACUGGCCAAAGCGGCAACUCAAGUCUCUAAAGCAUUAACAACUGAAAAUGGAAAGACGUGUGAACUACUGUCUAUCUAUCUAUGAAGCCUCUAAUACUAUGAGGGAUGUCGGGAAAAGACCCCCGAUCAUUCUAGCAACUGAAAUAAAUGAAACAUAACAGAAAGGGAUCCUCCGGAAAGCAAUGAGGCUCCCAAUAACUCUGAAGCUCAACUAGAUCAAUGAAUCGCUGGAUGUUGAUCUUGGUUACAUGUAUCUGCAUCAUAAAAGAUGCAGGCCAAAUGGCGUUAGUACAUGGAAUGUAUGAGUAUGUGAGGAGAAUUCUAAAACAAGACAUAAGCUUGAAAGGGAACUGAAGAAACUUACCUCGUCUCAACUCAACUUAACUCAUUUCAAUAUAAAGCAAUAAUAAAGAUGCAGUAUAAAGAAAAUAUUUUAAACAUGUAGAUAACAACUCAGUGCAUUGAAAAAGACAAUAGUAACUUAGUUUUGUAUAUGAAGAUACAAGUAACUCUGUGGAAAAUUCUCUAACUAACAACCAUCACUAUGAGCUAUGUGAUGAUACAACGUCUCUCCAUGCUGCCAGAACUGUCCUAUACUUUGCUGGGGUAUAGGACUACUCACUAUGUGGAUCCACUAGUUUAUGGUAAAAAUCAUUAAAGAAUCAUCUAAAAAGUAUGACCCUUUCUAUCCACGUUGGCUACAUGAUUUAUGGAGACUUUGAAUUAUUUGAACUCGUCUCCAUAUCGGUGCUCAAUACUACUCCCAAAAUAAGUAGCUCAUAUAUUUAAAAACAUGACUUUCUCUGUGGUUUGAGAUUAUUACUCAAAAAUCUAUCUUUUAAAAGAGAUGGUACUCAGAACUGUUCAUGAAAAUUCUUUUGGAAAUCAGUGUUUCCUCUCAUCUUAAAUGUGAAAACAUUUACUCUUUUGAAAUACUUUGGUCCCAUAUAUCAUUUUAAAGAAAAUGAACUCAGCUUUACUCUUCCUUAAACUCAAUGCUUAAGUCUUAAACAAGAGGGGUGUAAGACAAGGAGAUCACAUGUCUCCUUACUUGUUUGUAAUAGCCAUGGAUUACUUGACUAGAAUUCUAAAGACAUUGCAGACAAAUCUUGAGUUUCACUACCAUCCUAGAUGAAAAAGACAGAGAAUAGUUCAAUUAAGCUUUGCCGAUGAUCUGCUGAUGUUUUGUAGAGGUGACUUAAAAUCAGUAACAUGGUUGAAUAAAUGUUUUAUGAUGUUUUUCUAGAGCUUCUGUCUAGUUGCAAAUGUAGACAAGAGCAAUGUGUAUUUUGGAGGAGUUAAACAGCAACAACAAGAAGAGAUAUUGCAGGAGCUAAUAUUUGUGAAAGGGGAGUUGCCAUUUAGGUAUCUUGGAAUGCCUCUGAGUACUAAAAGGUUGUCUAUAGUACAAUUUAAACCUCUAUAAGAUAGGAUGCUUACUAAAAUCACAAGCUGGACAACAAAAUUCUUGUCUUAUGCAGGAAGAGCUCAACUCAUCAAAAGUGUUUUGUAUGCAAUCCAAAUGUUUUGGUCUCAAGUUUUGCUCUUCCAAAGAAAAUAAUUCAAGCAGUGGAAACUAUUUGUAGAAGGUUCUUAUGGACAAGAAAUACUGAAAUCUCAAGGAAAGCAUUAGUUGCAUGGGAUAAGUUGUGUUGGCCUAAACCAAGUGGUGGACUAAAUUUUCUGAAUAUAUAUACAUGGAACAAAGCUGCAGUUGGGAAGUUGUUGUGGAACUUAUGCAAAAACAAAAACAAAUUGUGGGUGGUUUGGAUACAUAGUUACUAUGGGCAAAAUGGUGUGUGGAACAUACAAGCCAAACAGGUUUCCGGGUAGUGCAAAAUAUUUUGAAGGCAGCAAAACAUCUACAAGAGGCUGGACUUACUGAGGUAGAUAUGAGGAGCAUGAUACAAUAUAGCAUAAGUAGAGUAUAUAUGCAAAUGAGAGGUACAAAGGAGAAGGUAGGAUGGAGGUCACUAGUAUGGAAAAAUUAUGGUGCUCCUAAGUGGAUUUUCAUCAUGUAUCUAGAUGUACAAAGGAGACUUGCAACAAAGGACAGAUUGGCAAAAUGGAGAGUAAUGCAAGAUUUAUUGUGUCCUCUAUGUCAGUUAGCUAAUGAAGAUCAUGAUCAUAUAUUUUUCCAAUGUGAUUAUGCAACAGAGAUAUGGAGGUGUAUUUUACAAUGGCAAGAAAUAAGAAGGAAUGUAAUGAAUUGGACGGAGGAAGUACAAUGGGGAAUGCAGUACAUGAAAUGCAAAAGCAGCAGGGCUCUAAUGUACAGAAUGCCAAUGUCAAAUGUUGUUUAUCAUAUCUGGUUGGAGCGAAAUGCUAGGAUUUUUAAGCAGCCACAAAAACCAGCAAACUACCUGAUUAGGCUUAUAAUACAGGAAAUUCAUGGGAGAGGCAAUCGAUAUCCAAGAAUAGCUACUAGAUUACAAAAGUUGAAUACCUUUUCAUAGAAUAUAGUAGUAGUAAUGAGAUUUUGGUUUAGCAAGGGUGGAGCAUAUGUCCACACCGGCUAAUUUCUUUGUUUUGUAACGUUUACUUGGUAAAUAAAAUUUUACUUACCAAAAAAAAAAGUUCAAAAGAUUUAUAAAAGACUUCUUAAAAUGACUCGAAGAACUUUCAAGACUUGACUCUCAACUCUACCUUGAAUUUGAAUUAUGAAUUCAAGGUUAUGCUUUGUGAUAGCAAGGAUAUCUUGAUGAUUAAAAGUGUUUUUAGAUAGUUAAUCACGAGAAAUGGUCGAAAAACACUGUCUGGGGAGCAAGUCCGCGAUGCGGAGAUGAAUUUAAAUAUUUGGUCAUGAAAUAAUUUAUAAACAGUAGAGUCCGCGUCCUCUCCGCGACGUGGAUAGAAAAUUUGUUUAUUGGGGGAGCAAGUCCGCGACGCGGACUUGCGUGCCAGAUUUUACCCGACUUUUUUCUUCCUCGUUUUCUAACCCCAAUUCACCUAGAAUCGAAUGGUUUCUUCCUCAAUCACUUAGAAUCGAAUACCCAACAAUAUUACACAAGAAUCCACUCAAAAACAACCUUAAAACUCAUACGAUUAUCUCAAGAACUCAUCAAAACCUCAACAAUCAAGAUUAUGAAAAAAACUUCAAUGAAACUCAUCAACAACUCAAAUCCUUGGCGCGUGGGUGAACAAAAUUACGUUGAAAUAAUGAUGAUUGGCGCGUGGGUGAAUGAACCCAACACUAUGUGAACUCACAUACCUCUUUAGGGAUCAACCCUUGGCAAAAAAGACCUUUGAUUCCGCAAGAAAUCUCCAAGAACACCUUGACUUUUCUCAUUUUUUUCUCCUCUUGAACUCUUUUAUCUAAAAUCCUAGCGUAAUUUAGGAUUCUGUAAACUGAACCAAAUCAGUUUAGACCCCUAAUUAAUUACUAAAAAUAUUUUAAGCUGAAGGGGUAAGGAAAAGACCAAAAUACCCCUCAUAAAUUCGGGUAACUUUCCUUAACUGGACAAACUAACUUUAAACAGGCAUAUAUCCCUCAUCCAAAACUCAAAACUUAGCAAUCUCGGUGGCGUUGGAAAGAGGAUUUAAAUACAUUUCAUUUGAUAUCUUAUGAGCCACCUAACUCAUCAUGUACUGAAAGUUAUGGUCGUUUGAAGUUGACCCAAAACUCACAACUUAAGCAUAACUUGCAAAAUUCUCAAUUUAGCUUUUUCCAAAUUAGUUCUUUCUAAAUUUAGCUAUUUCUAAGGCGGGAUGUUACAAUUUAAGUCUUAAAGAAUUUAACAAGUAACUCAGUCAGUCAUAUUAGUAAGCAUAAGUCAGUCACAUAGUUUGUAAGGCAUAUAAGUAAGUUACAUUAGUUAGUUAUUAAGUCACAUAAGUCAGACUUAAAGAAUUUAACAUGCCACAUUACAUUAGUUAGUAGUCACAUUAGGAAUAAAGGAGAAAAAAAAUAAAAAGUUACAUUAGUAAGUAGUAAGUAGUCACAUUAGUUAGUAUAAGUCACAUUACAUUAGUUAAUAGUCAAAUUAGGAAUAAAGAAGAAACAAUAAAAAGUGACAGUCAAACAAACAAGGUACACUCACAUUAAUAGUAUAAGUCACUUUACAUUAGUUAGUAGUCACAUUAGGAAUAAAGGAAAAACAAUUAAAAGUGUCAAACAAACAAGGUAAGUACUCACAUUAGUGUAAGGUUAGUAAUUCACAUUACAUUAGUUAGUACUCACAUUAGGAAUAAAGGAGAAAAAAAUUAAAAGUGACAGUCAAACAAGGUAAGUCAAACAAGGACGGUUUAAGUCAGUUAAGUAUUUGAGCUAAUUACACAAUACUAAUUAACAGAUGACCUAAGUAAAAUAAUAUUAAACAAGUGGUCCUUGUUAAGUAUGUGAGCUAAUUAUACACUACUAGUUAACAAUUAAGCUGGGUAAAUUAAGAUUAAACAAGUGGUCCUACCUAACUGCACAGAAUGUAAUUAAUAUCAACUAUCAAUUAUAUACUUGUCUAGUUCUUAUGGACCUACCUAACUAUACAAAAUAAAUAGUCAUAAAGAAAGGGAAUAAAGACAUGAAGAAAGGGGAUAAAGACAUCAAGAAAUGGAAUAAAGGCAUAACGAUAUUAAAUAAAGACAGGAAUGGAGACAAUCGACAAAAGAAGAAGAUAAAAUAUCCAUAAACCACAGAAAACGACACCACAAAAGCAACACAUCUGAAACACAAACAAACAAAAACACUUCUUCAACAUAAAGGUGCACAAAAUCCUAACAAAUCCGCAUAAAACGACACUAAAGUAAAACCUUAGAAAACGAAAGAACAACCACAGUUCAUUUUUAAGAUAAAUGUGAACAAAUCUCUACAAAUCACUAUAAAAAGCAGAUUCUAGACAAAGAAUUAAAGAUACAAGUGAAAAUCAAAACUCAACAACAUCUUUCUUACUAGCUAGGAAUGACAAUACAAGCAAAAAUAGAACACAAAAUAAGAUCUCGUAGAUGAACAUAGUAAAAGUGUGAGUACCUAUGACCGGAUCUGAGUGAAUCCACCAAGAAUAAUGGAGACGAGCGAGUAGUUUACGUCUGAUGGACUAGGAUUUUUGUUUGUGAGAUGAACGAAAGUAACGAGUAUAGGGGCUUUUUCUUUAGGAUUUUAGAGAGUUUAUUUGUGGGUAAAUCGGGUGGGUUAAAUAGGUUAUGGGCGGGUUUUAAAAUUUGGAUUAAAAAAUUGGUCAACUCGGAUUGUUGCGUAGGAUUGCGCCACGUGUACAUAAUGAGUGUUCUGUUAGUGGGAGGGGCAAAUGUGCACUGAUUAUUGGACGGCAAGGGCACUGAUGGACGAAAAGUAUGACGGAGGAUAUUGACAUACCAUUUUCGAAAGUUCGAGAAUAUAUUUGUCCUUUUUUCCAAUUUUAAAAAUUGGGAUUCAAAUCCCAACAAAGCACAAAAACGUUGUUAUUUCUUCCCAUCUACAUAACCCUUAGUUGACAAAGUUUCUCAUUACUUGUGUUGCUGCCUGAUAAUAAGAAAUAACAAAUACUCGGUGGAAUAACCAAAAUAGGCCUAAACACUAUUUUUGUAAGCAAAUUUAUAAAGGAGGAACAGCCAAAUGGCAUGGACGUUGAAGAAUACACGCAUUAUAUAUAAUUUAAUAAUAACGUCACUUUGAUUUUACCCAAUCAUUACAUAAUUCUGAGCAAACACAUCUUAUUCAAGAUAAACCUUCGUGACAUAGACAUAACAAUGUAUUAAUUUACUUCCCAAGGCCCAAAGUCUCCAAUGAUUUACAUGCUUGCAGCACACAAGAAAAACUAAUAGCAUCAAGACAUACAAUGAAAUAAAAUAGGCAUCAACAAGGGAUGUGAUUAAUGGAUUAGAAUCAUGAUCAAGCUUAUAAAUGCAAACGAUAAUAGGUAGUCUCAUGCACAAAGCAUCCCGCGUCAGCACAGUUCAGAAAAGAGUUGCACCUCAAAGGACAUACUAUGGAUAGUCUACCCUAAUACAAGCCACACCCAAAAGGUGUAGUUUGAACAGUCUACCUAAUUCAAGCAUUACUAUGAGAGAUUAUACCUAAGAUAAGGCAAAUGGAAAAAUAGAAACAUCCCACACUAGCAGAGUUCGAAGAAGGGCCACACCCCUAAAGAUGUAAUAUGAACAGUCUACCCUAAUACAAGCAUUAGUAACCAAACCCUUCCGCAUUAGCAGAGUUCGGAGAAGGGCCCACACCCAAAGGAUGCAAUGUCCAAUGCUAGCAUUAGUAACCAAACCAUCCCGCAUUAGCGAGUGAUCUCCCCUAAUACAAGGAUUAGUAUACCUAAAACAAGGCAAAUGGAAAAAUAGAAUGGGGUGAGAGAGGCUCGACCUCAGGAUUACUCAGAAGCUAUGAGACCUACGCGCUAGCCAACUGCGCCACCACCUGUUGUGAAUAAAAACCCACACAUUAUUUUAAAACCAAUGUACAAAACCAAACAAAUUUUUCACACAAAAUAAUACAAAAUGCAGGUUUUAUAUUAUAGUUUUGACUGGCAAAGUUAACAUCUUAGCAACAUGAUAAAGUCUAGUAAAAUAACAACCAAAUCCUCAAUAUUUUCCAUUAACAUACAAAAAUGACAUACAUAUAUGAUAUAUGUAUACCAUUAACAUCUUCUGCUAAUUCUUGUUUCCAGGGUCAACAUGGGGAAUACCAUAAGGUGACACCAUAGUCAUCCUGCAAAACAUAAAUGAUUAUCCAGUUUAGAAACAAGUUAUGCAAAAUUAGUAAUGUAGUUAUUAAUUAUAUUGGUAGUCUUCUUAAUGUGAAGAAAUGUAAUAUAUAUAUAGUAGUAGUAAUAUAUGAAUUAGAAGGAUAAUACAAAUAUGUAUGAAAAGAAAAAUUAAAAUAUGUUACUAUGCCUUAGAAAGUUGUAGAGAAAGAGCACUCAAAGUUUAUUAAAAUAUAAUAAUUAAUGUUGUAUGGAUUUUUCAAAUUGACAUAUAUUACAAAGAGCAUUCAAAAUUUAAAAGUUAUAAAAACAGUCAUAAUAGACUAGAGGGAAGAACCAUUUUCUAGUUCUUCUUAAUUUGGAAAUUUUCAUUUUUUAUACCUAAGAUACUUUCAUUAUUUUUAUAUAUAAAAGAUCUGAAAAAGACAGAUAAUUUUCUUCUAUUCAAACUUGAUUGUGAAGAUAUAUUCUUUUUAGGUUUACUAUUUGAUCAUUUGUUGAACUUAAAGAUCAAUUUGAGAAGAGUAACUAAUAAUUCACCUUCUUAAUUUUCUAAAAUGAAGUUAUAACUUAAAAAGUUUAACUAGGUCUACACAGACACAAAACAAAAUUGAUAUUUGAAAAUAGAAAAAUAUUGGAAGGAAUAUUUGAAAGUAUGAUAUUACGUUUAUAUAUGCAUUUAACUUUUAAAAAAAAAAAUAGAUGAAUACCAACCUCUCUUUUCGCUUUUCCAAGAAUUUAACUGAUGAUUUUCUUGUUGCCAAUGGUACAUCUACAUGUAACAAAGACCAACAUAUUAAAAUAAUUCAAAGAUGAACAAAACAUUAAUCAAAUUUAAAUUACAAGGAGAAGGAAGAAAUGUUUAACCUUCGCUUAAGGUUUUCACAAACAAUGGCUGUUUUGACGAUUCUGCGAACUUUAGAACUCCAUCCACCUACGAACAUAAUAUAUAAUUCAGAAAUCACAGUUAUAUAUAACCAAUUCAAAAGUAAAGGAAAUAAUUCAAGGAGCAAUGACAGUUGAUUGAUAAAAACCUUUUCACUGAAGACUUCGAAAACUGUAACUUUUUCAUUGUAGAAAAUAGUCAGAGGCGCAAUUUUCAUGCCGAAUCUCGAAGGGCAAAACCUAAUUAAUAAAAUCAAUUCAAAGAUCAAUCGAUGAGUAUUUUCAUUAUUGAAAGCAUUAACAUUAUAUGUUUGCCAACUUUCUUAUAUAUUUUUUAAAAUUCUAGAAAUGUUCAUUUUUAACAUAUAAGAGAUUUUUAUUUUUCACACAUAAGAAAUCUAAAAAAAUAUUUUCUUCUUAUAAAUUAUAAGACUGCUACUGCCAAUUUUAUUUAUUUUUUAUUUUAUAAAAGAGCAAGAAAAUGCAUUUCCCCGAACUUUUACUGGGAGAACUAAAAAGAAACAUUAAUACACUGAUCAUGAUAAAUUAUUCAUUUCUUUCCUUUAUUUAAUAUUCUUCUAGAGGGAGAAGUUAAUUCCUAAUUGAAAAUAUAAUUUAAUUAAGUAUUCUCAUGAAGUAACAACAGUUCUCUUAACUCUUUUUUGGUAAAGAUUACCUUUUAUAUUCUCAUACAAAUUACUCUAUGUCUUUUCAAACUAUUUACUUAUUUUUGAGGUUAGGAUCAAUAAUUUGAGGAAAAAAUUGAAGGUUAUGGUAAACUAGAUUUGAGAGGUUAAGUAGGCAUUCCGACAUAAAAAAUCACCUCUCUUUUUGAUUCUCCAAAACUCCAAGCAUAAAGUUUCUCCUUGCCAUGUCUAGAUCUAUAUGCAACAAAAAUCAACACAUCGUUAAAAUAAUUUGAAAAUCAACAAAAUAUUAAUCAAAUUUAAUUUUUAAAUGAGAAGGAAAAGAAAAUUGUUUAACCUCCACUUAAUGAUCCCACGGAAAAUUGAUUUUUAGAUGAAAAUGCAUCCCUUUCUAUAAACUUUAGAAUAUUUGCCGCCUACAUUUACAACAAAUAAUUCAAAAUUCACAAUUAUGUGUAAUCAAUUCAACAGUGAAACAAAACUAAUCAGAAUGUCAUUUAAUUAAUCAAAACCUUCUCAGUGGAGACAUCAUAAACCGCAAUCUUCCCAUCAUAGAAAAUAGUCAAGGGUGCAACUUUAAUGCCAUUUUCCGAGUCACAAUCAAGCCUCAUCAACACAAUCAACACAAAGAUUAAUCUAUGGAUAUUUUCGCUAUCCAAAGCAUUAACCAAGGCAAUGUAGUCAUUGCAUUUGCUUAAAAAAUACUGUUAUUUUUUUACGAGAGAUUUUCAUAUAUAUAAUUUAACAAGUAAGAGAUUUUCAAUUUUCUUACACAUAAUAGAUCUGAAAAUAAAUAAAUUAUUCUGUUCAAAUUAUAAAAGAACUUUAUCAAAAAAUCAAAAUCAUAAAAAGGCAAGAAAUCACUUUUCCUCAUACUUCUAGGGAGAGUACUAAAAAAAUACAUUAUUAUGAUAAUUAUCCUAUUUAUCAGAACCUUGUUCAUGUUGAAAUUGAAACAAAUUCCAUUGAAGUAUUAUGAUAAUUAUCCUAUUUAUCAUGUUAUAAUUGAUAUUUACAUAUCCCUAUUAGCUUUGAAAAUGUUUGUGUAAUGAAGGCUACUACUAAUAGUGCAUAGGCACGUUAAGACUAAUGUAACUAUAUACACAGUUUUAAUAUAAAAUAAUAUUAUCUAUUUCAACUAAAAUGGAUUUUGUUUGUUAUAAAGAUUAUCUUUAAAUCUCUUAAAAUUAUCUUCUAUAUCUUUUCGUCAAACUAAUUGAUCAUUUAUUGAAGUUAAGAUUAAUUUUGAGAAAAAUAAUUAAUAUCUUUUUAAUUUUUUAAAAGUGAAGCUUAUGAUAAACUAAAUUGAAAGGCUAAGUAAGCGUUUCCACAUUAAAAAAUAAGGGUGAUAUUUGACAAAACAAAACUUAUAAGGGGUAUUAGGAAGUACGAAAUUGUAUUUAAAUAUGUAUUUAAUCAAUUUGAAAAAAAAUUAGAAAAAUGAGAGUAGAAACCUUUUUACCUUAUUUGUGGCUUCUCGAAGAUUCUAAGCGAGGAGUUUAUCUUCGGCAAUGGUAGAUCUACAUGCAACAAAAACCAACACAUUGAAAUAAAUUGAAAAUGAACAAAAUUUUAUACAAAUUUAAUUUUCAUAGGAAAAGGAAAAGGAAAAGGAAAAGGAAAAGGAAAAGAAAAAUGUUUAACCUCCACUGUUUGACGACAAGACAUCAUUAGUUAUUGACAUUUUUGCAAACUUUAGAAUUUCAUUCGCCUACAUGCAGAACAAAUAUUCAAAAAUUACAAUUACAUGAAAGCCAAUUAACAAUUGAGCGAAAAUAGAUCAUGGAUCAAUAACAUUUGAUUGAUGAAAACCUUGUCAUUGGAGACGUUGAAAUUUGCAAAGAUUCCGUUGUAGCGAAUAGUCAAAAGUGCAAUUCUCAAGCCAUUUUCCGAGCCACCACAAAGCCUAAUAAAUAAAAUCAACACAAAAAUCAAUCGAUUGAUAUUUUCAUUAUCUAAAGCAUUAGUCGAGUAAUACAAACGUUAUAUAUGUUUGUCAACUUUUUUAUAUAUUUUUUAAAUUUUGAUGUUCUUUUUACUAGAAAUCUUCAUUUUUAACAUAUGAGAUAUUUCCAUUUUUUUCACAUAAGAAAUCUAAAAAAAUAUUUUCUUUUAAAUAAUUCGAGCUCUAUUAUUAAAAAAUAAAUUAUAAAAGGGCAAAAGAUUACAUUUCUUCAAAGUUCUAGAGGGAAAUGUUUGAAACGAAGUAUCUCACCUAAAAGGAGCGAAACCCUAAUCAACGUUUUAGAUCCUUAAAAAACACAUAAAUACACUAAUCAUGAUAAAUUCUUUAUUUCAUUCUUGUAUUUAUUCUUCUUGGCUUUGCAGACAUAUAAUUUAAUUAAGUACUCUCUUUAAGGAACAAUCCAACUUCUCUUAAUUCUUUUUGGUAAAGAUUGCCCGUUAUAUUUUCAUACAAAAAUACUCUUCAUCUUUUCAAAAUAUCAUUUAUUGAAGUUCAGAUUAAUUUUGGAAAUUUUUUUUAAUGUUAUAAUAAACUAGAUUUGAGAGGUUAAGUAGGCGUUCGGACAUAUAAAAAAAAAGUAAUAUUGGACAAAAAUUGUUAGAAAAGGGUAUUAAAAAAUAUGUAUUGUAUUUGAAUAUGUAUUUAAAUAACUUGAAAACAUAUAAAUUUUGAAAGUGCAAAAAAGUUCACCUCUCUUUUUGCUUCUCUGAGACUCCAAUCAUAGAGUUUCUCCUAGCCAAAUGUUGAUCUAUAUGUAACAAAAAUCAACACAUUAUCAAAAUAAUUCAUGAUGAGCAAAAAUAUUAACCAAAUUAAUUUUCAAAUAGAAGGAAAAGAAAAUUGUUUAACCUCCAGUUAAUGUUUCCACAGAGAUUUUUUUUCCGGAUGGAAAUACAUCAUUAAAUUUUGACCUUUCUGCAAACGCUAGAAUAUUUGCUGCCUACGUAUAUGAUAAAUAAUUUGAAAAUCACAAUAUGUUUCAUUAAUUUAACAAUGAAACGAAACCAAUUAGGAAUGAAUAACAUUUUAUUAAUACAAACCUUAUCCAUAGAAGCAUCGAGACUAGCCGUCUUUCCGUCAUAGGAAAAAUUCAUGGGAAAAUUUUUUAUGCCAUUUUUUAAGCCACAAUCAAGCCUGAUUAAUACAAUCAACACAAAUAUUAGUUGAAUUUUGUUUGUUAAAAAGAUUAUCUUUAAAUCUCUUAAAAUUAUCUUCUAUAUGUUUUUGUUAAAAAGAUUAUCUUUAAAUCUCUUAAGAUUAUCUUCUAUAUCUUCUCGUCAAACUAAUUGAUCAUUUAUUGAAGUUAAUAUUAAUUUCGAGAAAAAUAAUUAAUAUCUUUUUAAUUUUUUAAAAGUGAAGCUUAUGAUAAACUGAAUUGAAAGGCUAAGUAGGCGUUUCCACAUUAAAAAAUAAGGGUGAUAUUUGACAAAACAAAACUUAUAAGGGGUAUUAGGAAGUACGAAAUUGUAUUUAGAUAUGUAUUUAUUCAGUUUGAAAAAAAUUUAGAAAAAUGAGAGUAGAAACUUUUUUACCUUAUUUGUGGCUUCUCGAAGAAUCUAAGCGAGGAGUUUAUCUUCGGCAAUGGUAGAUCUACAUGCAACAAAAACCAACACAUUGAAAUAAAUUGAAAAUGAACAAAAUAUUAUACAAAUUUAAUUUUCAUAGGAAAAGAAAAAGAAAAAGAAAAAUAUUUAACCUCCAUUGUUUGACGAAAAGACUUCAUUAGUUAUUGACAUUUUUGCAAACUUUAGAAUUUCAUUCGCCUACAUGCAGAACAAUUAUUCAAAAAUUACAAUUACAUGAAGCCAAUUAAUAAUUGAGAGAAAAUAGAUCAUGAAUCAAUAACAUUUGAUUGAUGAAAACCUUGUCAUUGGAGACAUUGAAAUUUGCAACCAUUCCAUUGUAGUUAAUAGUCAAAAGUGCAAUUCUCAAGCCAUUUUCCGAGCCACCACAAAGCCUAAUAAAUAAAAUCAACACAAAAAUCAAUCGAUGGGUAUUUUCAUUAUUUAAAGCAUUAAUCGAAUUAAUAUAGACGUUACAUAUGUUUGUCAACUUUUUUUUAUACAUUUUAAAUUUUGAUGUUUUUCUUACUAGAAAUCUUCAAUUUUAACAUAUGAGAUAUUUUCAUUAUUUACACAUAAGAAAUCUAAAAAAAAAUUCUCUUUUAAAUAAUAAGAGAGCUAUUGUCAAAAAAAAAAUUUAUAAAAGGGCAAAAGAUUACAUUUUUUCAAAGUUCUAAAGGAAAAGGUUUGAAACGAAGUAGCUCACCUAAAAGGAGAGGAAACCUAACCAACGUUUUGACCCUAAAACACACAUAAAUACACUAAUCAUAUUAAAUUCUUUAUUUCAUUCUUUUAUUUAUUCUUCUUGGCUUUGCAGACAUAUAAUUUAAUUAAGUACUCUCUUUAAGGAACAACCCAACUUCUCUUAAUUCUUUUUGGUAAAGAUUGCCCUUUAUAUUUUCAUACAAAACUACUUUUCAUCAUCUUAUCAAACUAUCAUUCAGUGAAGUUCAGAUUAAUUUUCGAUAAAAGUUUUUAAUGUUAUGAUAAACUAGAUUUGAGAGGUUAAGUAGGCGUUCAGACAUAUAAAAAAAAUGUAACAUUGGACAAAAAAUGUUAGAAAAGGGUAUUAAAAAAUAUGUAUUGUAUUUGAAUAUGUAUUUAAAUAACUUGAAAACAUAGAAAUUUUGAAAGUGCAAAAAUGUUCACCUCUCUUUUUGCUUCUCAAAGACUCCAAGCAUAGAGUUUCUCCUAGCCAAAUGUUGAUCUAUAUGUAACAAAAAUCAACACAUUAUCAAAAUAAUUUCANNNNNNNNNNNNNNNNNNNNNNNNNNNNNNNNNNNNNNNNNNNNNNNNNNNNNNNNNNNNNNNNNNNNNNNNNNNNNNNNNNNNNNNNNNNNNNNNNNNNNNNNNNNNNNNNNNNNNNNNNNNNNNNNNNNNNNNNNNNNNNNNNNNNNNNNNNNNNNNNNNNNNNNNNNNNNNNNNNNNNNNNNNNNNNNNNNNNNNNNNNNNNNNNNNNNNNNNNNNNNNNNNNNNNNNNNNNNNNNNGUCAAGCCUGAUUAAUACAAUCAACACAAAGAUUAGUUGAUGGGUAUUUUCAUUGUGUACAAACAUUAACCAAGUCAAUGUAUUGCAUUUGCUUAAAAAUAUAUCUUUUAAUUUUAUAUUCUUUUUACGUAACAUCUUCUCAUCAGACUAAUUUAUCAUUUAUUGAGGUUAAAAUUAAAAUUAUAAUUAAUAUUUUCUUGAUUUUCUAAAAUAAAGCUUAUGGUAAACUAGAUUUGAAAAGCUAAAUAGGCGUUUCCACAUUAUAAAAAGAAGGUGAUAUUUGACAAAACAAAAGUUAUAAGGGGUAUAAUAAAGUAUGAAAUUUUAUUUGAAUAUGUAUUUAAUUAACUUGAAAAAAUAAAAUAAAAAUUGUGAGUGAAAAUAAAUUCACCUUGUUUUCGGCUUCUCCGAGAAUCUAGGCACGGAGAUGCUCCUUGCCAAUGGUAAAUCUACAUACAACAAAAAACAACACAUUAGUGAAAUAAUUUGAAAACGAACAAAACAUUAUAUAAAUUUAUUUUUCAUAGGAUAAGGAAAGAAAAAUGUUUAACCUCCAUAGUUUGAUGAAAAGUCAUUCUUAAUUUUUGACAUUUUUGCAAACUUUAGAAUAUCUUUCGCCUACAUUCACAACAAAUAUUCAGAAAUCACAGUUAUAUGAACCCAAUUAAAAAGUGAAAGAAAAUAAAUCAAAAAUCAGUGACAUUAGAUUGAUAAAAACCUUGUCACUAGAGACAUGGAAAGAUGCAACCAUUCCAUUGUAGCAAAUAGUCAAAAGUGCAAUUUUCAUGCCAUUUUCUGAGCCAGCACAAACCCUGGUUAAUAAAAUCAACAUAAAGAUCAAUCGAUGGGUAUUUUCAUUUUCUAAAGCAUUAACCAAAUUAAUGCAGACAUGUAUAUGUUUGUCAGUUUUUUCUUAUAUAUAUAUUUUAAAAAAUUUAGUGUUCUUUUUACGAGAGAUCUUCAUUGUUAACACUAAUUAAUACAAUGAUCAUGAUAAAUUCUUUAUUUCUUUCCUUUAUUUAUUCUUCUUGGCUUUGCAGACAUAUGAUUCCUAGGUUUACUAUGGCUAAGUUAAUUCUUGAUAAAAAAAAAAAAUGUAAUUAAGUACUCUAUUUAAGAAACAACACAACUUCCUUAAUUCUUUUUUAGUAAAGAUUACCUAUUAUAUUUUCAUAAAAAUUACUGUCUUUUUAAACUAUUAACUCAUUUAUCGAAGAUAGGAUUAAUUUGGAGAAAAAAAUUGAAGGUAGUAAAGUAAUUGAGAGGUUAAGUAGGUGUUCGGACAUAAAAAAAAAGUGAAGUUGGACAAAAAAUGUUAGAAAGGGAUAUUAAAAAAUAUGAAUAUUUGGAUAUGCAUUUAAAUAACUUGAAAACAUAGAAAUUUCGGAAGUGGAAAAAAAUUCACCUCUCUUUUCCCUUCUCCGAGAAUCCAAGCAUAGAGUUUCUUCUCACCAAAUGUUGAGCUAUAUAUAUGUAACAAAAGCCAGCACAUUAUUAAAAUAAUUUGAAGAUGAGCAAAAUAUUAAUCAAAUUUAAUUUUCAAAUAAGAAGGGAAAGAAAAUUUUAACCUCCACUUAAUGUUUCCACAAACAAUUGUUUUUCGGAUGAAACUGCAUCUCUUGUUUCUGACCUUUCUGCAAACUCUAGAAUAUUUGCCACCUAUAUACAUAAUAAAUAAUUCAAAAAUCACAAUUAUGUGUAAUCAAUUAAAUAGUGAAACAAAACCAAUCAGAGAAGAAUGACCUUUGAUUAUUACAAACCUUAUCACUGAAUAUAUUGAAACUCACACUCGUUCCAUCAUAGCAAAUAGUCAAAGGCGCAAUUAUUAUGCCAUUUUCCAAGCCAGAGUCAAGCCUGAUUAAUACAAUCAACACAAAGAUUAGAAGGAGAGGUCAUCCAUUUAUAAUUUUAUUAAAUAAAUUCUAUUGAGGCAUAUUUUAUAAUGAUUAUUCUAUUUAUCAUGUUAUAAUUGAUAUUUGCAGAUCUGUGUUGAAGUUGCAGAACUUUCGUUAUUAAAAAGAUUAUAUGUAUAUCUCCUAAAUUUAUUUUUUAUAUCUUCUCGUCAAACUAAUUGAUCAUUUAUUGAAGUUAAGAUUAAUUUGAAAAAAAUAAUUAAUAUCUUAGCUUCUUGGUUUUCUAAAAUUGUGUUUGAAUAUACAUUUAAUUAACUUGAAAAAAAAAAUUGUGAGUGAAAAAGAAUUUACCUCGCGUUUUUCUUCUCCGAGAAUCUAAGCAAGGAGUUUCUCCUCGCCAAUGGUAGAUCUACAUACAACAAAAACCAACACAUUACUGAAAUAGUUUGAAAAUGAACAACAUUAUACAAAUUUAAUUUUCAAAGGAGAAGGAAAAGAAAAAUGUUUAACCUCCACUUAAUGUUUCCACAGAUAAUUGUUUUUUUGGCGGAAUGACAUUCUUAAUUUUUGACUUUUCCGCAAACAUUAGAAUUUCCUUCACCUACAUACACAACGAAUAAUUUAGAAAUACAAUUAUGUGAAACCAAUUAAAAGUGAAAGAAAAUAGACUAGGGAUUAAUGACAUUUGAUUGAUAAAAACCUUGUCGCGGAAGACAUUGAAAUUUGCAAUCUUUCCAUUGCACCCAAUAGUCAGAAGCACGAUUUUCAUGCCAUUUUCCAAGCCACCACAAAGCCUAAUUAAUAAAAUCAACAAAAAGGUCAAUCAAUGUUUUUUUUCAUUGUCUCAAAUACUAAUCGAGUCCCUACAAACGUUAUAUUUGCUCAAGAAAUCUCUAUUCUUUUAUAAUUUUUAAAUAUAUAUAUUCUUUUAGCGAUAAAAUUUUAUUGUUACACAUAAGAUUUUUUUUUGAGAAGGGGGAUGUUUGGCUGUGCAGAAAUUUGAUUCCUAGGUUUACUAUGACAGUUAAUUGCUAAGCUAAUUCCUAAUCAUAAAUGUAAUUUAAUUAAGUUCUCUCUUUAUAGAACAAUUCAACUUCUUUUGAUUCUAUUUGAUAAAGAUUACAUCUUAUAUCUUCAAAAGUUACUCUUUUAAUCUUCAAAUUAUUUAAUUCUUUAUUUAAAAGCGCCCUUUUGCUAUUGAUGUGCAUUUAAUUUGAAAAGAAAAAAAAAUACCAACCUCUCUUUUCGGUUCUCCAAGAAUCUAAGUUGAGAGUUUCUCCUCGCCAUUGAGAUGUCUAAAUCCAAAAACAAACCAACACAAUAUUCCUCCAUUUAGAAUAAAUAGUUUGAAGAUGAAAAUCAAGAUUAUUGAAACACUCAUCAAAUUCUCAAAAAAUGUUUACCUUGACUUUGCGUUUCCACACCCAAUGGCUUUUUUGAUGAAGAGACAUUCACAACAUUUGAGCUAUCUGCAAACUUUAGAAUUUCCUCCGCCUACAUACACAUCAAAUUCAAAAAACACAAUUUACAUGUAACCAAUUCAAUAGUGAAAGGAAAAGGUUCUAGGAUUAAUGACAUUUGAUUAAUAAAAAUUAACCUUAUCCCUCGAGACAUUAAAAAUCUCAACUGUUUCAUCGCAGAUAAAACUCAGCGUCACAAUUUUUGUUGUUGCGUUUUUCAAAACUUCAUUGGGAUUGGUCUUCCCAAUCACAUUAUCAAUACCUACAAGAAAAUUUCACAAGGAAAAAUAAUUAGAAUUCAAUGUUAAUUAGCUGGAUUUUCCCUUUGUAACUAUUGAUAUACUUUGUAUUGAGAUAAAUCAAACAUAUAUGUAUACUUACACGCAUGAACAUAUACUCAUUGAUGAAUUUCUAUAGCAAAUUAGUGAAAAAGAAAGGAAAAUUAAAACCUCCAAAGGUGAUUUCACUUUUAAAUUUAGGUGCGAAAAUUAAGUGAAAUUUUUAUUUAUUUUCUGAUAUUUAGUUUGUAAGCAAAAAAAAUUAUUUUCAAAUAUAUUUUCUAUAUAAUUCAACCAUAUAUAGAAAAUCAAAAGAAAAGUUGAAAAAAAAAACUACUUUUCUCCUUACCUAACACACCUUCUUCGUUUUUAAAGAUUUUCCUUCUUUAUAGAAAGUGAGAUUAAGUUUAAAAUUUAAACAAUUUUGCUAUUUUCUAUAACAUUAAGAAAAUGAAAAAAUAUUUUUAUGCAUCUUUUUAACCUGUAAAAACCAAUUAUUCAAAUAUCGCGAUAAUAUCCAAAAAAANNNNNNNNNNNNNNNNNNNNNNNNNNNNNNNNNNNNNNNNNNNNNNNNNNNNNNNNNNNNNNNNNNNNNNNNNNNNNNNNNNNNNNNNNNNNNNNNNNNNNNNNNNNNNNNNNNNNNNNNNNNNNNNNNNNNNNNNNNNNNNNNNNNNNNNNNNNNNNNNNNNNNNNNNNNNNNNNNNNNNNNNNNNNNNNNNNNNNNNNNNNNNNNNNNNNNNNNNNNNNNNNNNNNNNNNNNNNNNNNNNNNNNNNNNNNNNNNNNNNNNNNNNNNNNNNNNNNNNNNNNNNNNNNNNNNNNNNNNNNNNNNNNNNNNNNNNNNNNNNNNNNNNNNNNNNNNNNNNNNNNNNNNNNNNNNNNNNNNNNNNNNNNNNNNNNNNNNNNNNNNNNNNNNNNNNNNNNNNNNNNNNNNNNNNNNNNNNNNNNNNNNNNNNNNNNNNNNNNNNNNNNNNNNNNNNNNNNNNNNNNNNNNNNNNNNNNNNNNNNNNNNNNNNNNNNNNNNNNNNNNNNNNNNNNNNNNNNNNNNNNNNNNNNNNNNNNNNNNNNNNNNNNNNNNNNNNNNNGAAAAAGUGUUCUUAACGUGUUUUUUUAUUUUCAUCUUCAUAAAUCAAAUAACGUGUCAUCUUCUCUCCUUUGCAAAAAGUACAAUCAAACAUAAGUUUAUCUUCAACUUCCACUUUAUAAAUCUAAAUAAAUCAAAAAAUAUUUGAAAUCUAUUAUAAACUUCACUUAUGGAAUUCUUAGAUCUUGAGUAUAAAAAUCUUAAAGGAUGAUGUUAAGGGAAUAUACCUGAAGACAUUAUCACAAAGCAAAAAUGUUGAUUCAAAAAAUGUUUCUAACUCCUUCCUCUAACUUUAUGUUACCACCAACGGCAGCAAUGGAAAUGUGCGAAGAAAAUAUGUUAACCCUAAUGGGUGAAAAAGAUAAAUUUAUAGAGGUUUAGAUUUAAUCUGGCACGUCCAUCAACCAAGCCAUCUAAUGAUAGAUUGAGUCUUCAGUAGUUAUUAAUGAUGUACUUUACAUUAAUUGGGCCACACAUAAAAUAAUAAGAAGUCUAACAUUUUUCCACUUGGCCCAAUAACCACAUAACGCUAAUAUUUAAGAGAAAAUAUCAUAAAUAACAAAGAGAUUAAAAUUAAUAAGCCUCAUUAGCUACAAUUUACCUAAUUUUGCUCCAUAACUAUAGUUUCAUUUCCUAUGGGUAUUUCUGUUUGUAUAAUUCACUUGUCAAUAUACAAAUAGAGUAAGUCAGUUAGUAUAAUUUGCUUGUCAAUACACAAAAAAGGUAAGUAUAUACAAAUUAUGUAUUAAUAUGUUUAGAAUUUUUUCAAAACUUAUACAAAAUCAAAUGUAUAAACAAAUGUAUCAACAUGAUAUCAUAUACAAGUUAGGGUAAGCAUAUACAAAUUUUAGAUUUGUACAAUUAUGAACUAAAUUAUACAAAUUCUGAAUUUAUACAAUUAGGAGUCAAAUUAUACAAAAUUUGGAUGUGGCCCAUGUGAAUAUGGUUAUAUAUAUUAGCGACGAAAAGUAAUUUCUUCAAACUAUAGUUAUAUUAAAUAAUUAACUAGUAUUUAUUUGCUUAAUUGUAUAAUUUCCUCAAUAUUUAAUGAUACAUUCAUUAGUUACGCAUAAAACAAAUAUGUUCUACAUUAAUAUUCAUCAUACAUAUCAUAAUAUGACAAAUCGCUAAUGUGAAUUAUGGCGGCUAUACAUAAUAAUAUUAAGCUACAUACUCCGUUCCUUAUACUACAGCACUAGUACUUUAUCAUACCAAGUUCAUAAAAUAUAAAUACUAACCACAUUAAUAUUUUGUUGAGAUUUUUUCAGUAAUAUCUCAAUAUAAUAAUAAUAUAUAUAUAUAUAUAUAUAUCUUUUACUAUCUGAGUCUACACUCCGACUGAGACAUGGUACCUACAAUCACGAGUAAUUCCAGGUUAAUCUUUGGCUUAACAUAUCAGACAUAAUAUAUAAAACUAAGGCGAGAGCUUAUACAUAUUCUUGAAUGAACACAUCAUCUAGCUUCUGGUUCCAACUUUUUCACCGCUCUUUGCUCAGUGCUCACCAAAAAUCUUGUCUUUUAGCUUCAGAUUUUUUUUUUUUGUUUUUUUUUUUUCCAAAAACCAUGAUGAUUGAUUUUUCCCCUGUAGUUGUAAAUGUUAAUCUUUCGUAACUAUGAUGAAAUUUGGUCCGAGUGUCUUAAUUAUGCAAUUAUCAGUUUUAUCAUUUGUGACUUCAUAUUUUCUUCUUCUUUUUUUUAUUUGGGUUUGUUGUUGAUGUUCCUUUUUUGCAUCAUUAUAGCUUCAACUUUUGGUUUUUUACUGUCACACCCCGAGGCUACCCCCUUGGCGUAACACGGGAUUUAGAAUCACGAGUGACCCCAAGCUAAUCAUGUGUCUAGCAUAUCAUAAGUAUACUCGAAAUAACUAAGUAAGACAUGAACUAUGCUGAAGCUAAAAAAAAGUUAUCUGAAAAGUGGGGAAUACCCAACUAGUCUGAAUGUAUAAACCAUACUAAAAGUUUAAUAACAACUGAAAGAGAAAACAUAACAAGUCAAGUUGAUAAUACUAUUAUGUCUGAAAAGCCUCUAGCUGAGUUAAGUAGCUGGAACAUGACCCCCAACUAACUCUAACAAAACUGAAAAAAUUGAAAAUAAAGACUAUAAUGAAAGCAUAUCUAUUGUCCUCGGAAUAUAAGGACUCACCACUAAAGCUACUGAAAUGCGAACCGAGAAUCGAUCUAAGCUCGAUCUGGAUUCUGAGUACCUGAACCUACAUCAUGAAAGGAUGUAGUGCAGAGUAUGCGUUAAUACUUGGAAUGUACUGAGCAUGCAUGAUAUAGAUACUAAGCUAAAUAAAUAUAUAUAAGCUGGAAAAAAAACAUAACUGAGCAAGAAUGUAAAUACUGAAACAUAACUGAAAAGCUAAGUUAAAUGUAAUGACCAAGUACUAAUCAUGAAAAUAGCAUGCUAAACUGAAUGCUGAAGUAUAUACUGAAAACCUGGUCAAAUGCACUAAGAGUCUGAUUGUGGGAGCUACUAUUAACCAACAUAAAACCACGUGAGCUAAACAUGGAGUCCGAUGUACACGCCCCAUCGAGAGGACACAAUAUAUCUUGCAAAGGGUAUAAAGGCAUGAUUAGCGUGAUCACUAAAUCUAAUGCCCAACAGAGGGGACAUAUACUCCUGCGGGGGCAUGUAGUUUUGGGACUAUUAGGUACGUUGAACCCUAGUCCAACUCAUUGCUAAGUCUACUCCCAACUGAAUAUGUAUAUGACAUAAAUGUAAUUGAAAUGCUAAAUUACGGAAUAGUUCAAAAUACUGACAUACAAUCUGAGAAUGCAACAUUUAUAUAUUGAUAAUGUAACAUUUGAAAUCUGGAGCAUGAUUAUUUGUUUAACGGACAUAGCAAGUGUAAUUCAUGAACUAGAGAAUCUACACAACUAGGGUUUUGAGUUUCAUACAAGGAACUAAACCAACUUUCCAAGAAACAUGCUCUUUCGAUUUAGGAAACCACAAUAGCUAAAAUACAGUAAAUAUCCAAGGUUUUAGAAACCCUAGGUUUAAACAAGAUAUGGAGAAUCAAAGAACUGACUGAUUUCUAAGGACCUAGUGGAUGAAAGGAACCCACUAGUGAAAUCCCACAUACCUAGUAAUGAAAUCUACGAAGAAAUUCUUUGAUUUUGGGGUUGAACUUUGAAGAACACUGUUGCUUGUUCUUGGAAGGUUUGGUCGACUUUUUCUCUUCUUUUUGCUCCAAGUUUAGAUGAUUUUUGGAGAAUGAGGGUUUUGGGUAAGUCUAACUAAGUUAUUAGGCUUAGACUGAGUAAAAUGAUGUAGUAUAAGGUCCUCAACGCAUAGGAAAAAGACCUAAAUGACCCUAACUUAAAAGCUGACGAAGGCCAUCCACGGAGGGACCUACUAACCGUCGUUUGGACUACCAAUCUUCGUCAGUGGUCUUGGUUCAUGGUCUGCCCGACAGGGCUUCACUAAAAUGAGCAUAAAUUUUUAUUCUGCGACAGGAUUUUAGCAAACUCGGUGGCAUUAGAAAGAUGAUUCAAUUAUCUUUAAUUUGAUAAGUCAUGGGCCACCUAAUUCAUUCUAAAAUAUAUGAUCAUUUGAAGUUGACCCAACAACCAAUUCCCUCCAAUUGGUUGCUGACCCUCACCUACGAUUCGUAGAUCCUACCACGGACCGUACUAAUAGACUAUGGGUGGGAUUAGAGAUCAUCAAUAUUUGGGCCAUAACGAAGAAACCCGAUCUACGGUCCGUGGUUCUACCUACGGUCCGUUGGUGGUUCCGUCGGUACUGGUACCCAUUUUUUUGACAAUUAAGAUUUUCUUUAUUUUGAGCUUUGAGGUGUUACAUUAUCUCCCCCUUGGAACAUUCAUCCUCGAAUAAAAUCUAAACAAUCUAAGUAUGGAGGGAAGGAGUUGUAAUCCCUACCAUUAAGUACUAGAAACUAAUAUCUAACUUAACUGAGUUCCAAGAACAUGCAAAUAUGCUGAAAUUAAAGAACAACUAAAAGAAUAGGAUACUGAGACUGAAUUUAUGCAGGAGUAAACUAAGAGACUGGAGAGGAACUAUUACAUCAAGCUGAAACGGAAUCAAAAGGAAAGAAGUGAAGAUACUUGGCCUUCACGGAUGCUUCUGCUUCCCAAGUAGCUCCCUCUACGGACUGACUCCCCCACAAAACCUACACUGAAGCAACUUCCUUAUUUCUCAACCUACGAACCUGACGGUCAAGAAUCUCAACUGGCAUCUCUUCAUAAGUGAGAUUAUCCUUCACAGCCACUCUCUAAUGAUACUUUUGAUGCCGGAUCACCCACACACUUCUUCAACAAGGAAAUGUGGAAGACUGAAUGAACCGCUGCUAGUUUUGCUGGCAACUCUAACCCAUAAGCCACAUUACCAACCCUUCUAAAGAUUUUAUAAGGACCUACAUAUCUAGGACUGAGCUUGCCUUCCUUGCCAAAUCUCAUCACCCCCUUCAUAGGUGACAUCUUCAGGAAAACCCAAUCUUCGAUUUCAAACUCUAAGGACGACUUUGGGUUGUCUUUAGUCUAUCUUUGAAGAGCCUAACUUUUUCCAUAGCCUUAUGAACCAAAUCUGUCCCUAUCAAGGCUGUUUCACCUACUUCAAACCAACCAAUCAGGGACCUGCAUCUAUGCCCAUAUAGUGCCUAAUACGAGGCCAUCUGAAUACUGGAAUGAAAGUUAUUGUUACAUGAGAACUCUAUGAGAGGUAGGUAAUCAUCUCAAUUACCCUUGAAAUUGAUCACACAAGAUCUCAACAUGUCCCCUAAGUUCUGAAUGUUACGUUCUACCUGACCAUCCGUCUGUGGAUGAAAUGUUGUACUAAGAUUUACCUGAGUACCAAGACCUUUCUGAAACGAUUUCUAGAAAUAAGAGGUAAACUGAGGGUCUCUAUCAGAAAUGAUAGACAAGGGAAUCCCAUGUAACCUGACUAUCUCAUAGAUGUAGAGUUUGGCAUAGUCCUCCGCUGGCUCGGUAGUCUUGACAGCCAAGAAGUGAAUGGACUUAGUAACUUUGUCUACUAUCACCCAAAUGGAAUCAUAUUGUCUGCAAGUACGAGGUAAACCCGUAAUGAAGUCCAUGUUUAUAAUUUCCCACUUCCAUGUAGGAAUGUUAAUCUCUUGAGUCAUACCUCUUGGUUUCUGAUGUCUACCUUAACUGGUUGACAGUUAGAACACUUAGCCACAAAAUCUGCUAUGUCCUUCUUCAUGUUGUUCCACCAAAAGACUUCCCGUAGAUCACGAUACAUCUUAGUGGCACCAGUAUGAAUGGAAUACCUGGAGUUAUGGGCUUCUGUAAGGAUCUGCUGCCUCAACUCACCCAUAUUAGGAACGCAUAAGAGACCCUGGUAACGAAGUACACCAUCUCCCCCUUGGGAAAAAACCUCAACUUUCUGCCGGCGAAUUACACCUUUCAAUUGAAGUAAUAUAGGAUCACAAUCCUGUUUUUCCUUAAUCUCCGCUAACAAUGAAGAUUCUGAUCCAUUCUGAACUAUCACCCCACUAUAUAAUGUGUCCGUAAGGCAAACUCCUAAACAAGCAAGCCGAUGAACAUCUUUGGCUAGCUCUUUCCUUUCUUCUUCAACAUGUGCUACACUACACAUAGACAGUUUGCUAAGAGAAUCAACCACUAUAUUCGCCUUACCAGGAUGGUAAAACACAUUCAUGUAUCAUUCGAAAUCUAGAGCAUGAUUAUAUGUUUAACAAACCUAGCAAGUGCAAUUCAUUAACUAGAGAAUCUACACAACUAGGGUUUUGAGUUUCAUGCAAGGAACUAAACAAACUUUCAAAGAAACAUGCUAUUUCGAUUUAGGAUACCUCAAUAGCUAAAAUACAGUAAAUAUCCAAGGUUUUAGAAAUCCUAGGUUUAAACAAAAUAUGGAGAAUAAACGAACUGACUGAUUUCUAGGGACCUCGUGGAUGAAAUAAACCCACUAGAUACCUGGCGAUGAAAUCUACGGAGAAAUCUUUUGAUUCCAGGGAUGAACUUUUAUGAACAUUGUUGCUUGUUCUUGGGAGGUUUGGUCGACUUUUCCUCUUCUCUUUGCUCCAAAUUUGGAUGAUUUUUGGAGAAUGAGGGUUCUAGCUAGUCUGACUAAGUUAUUAGGCUUAGACUCAGUAAAAUGACGUAGCUUAGGCAUUAAACAACGUAGUAUAAGGUCCUUAACGCAUAGGAAAACUAUAUAAAUGACCCUAACUUAAAAGCCGACGAAGGCCAUCCACGGAGGGAUCUACGUACCGUCGUUUGGACUACCAACCGUUGUCCGUGGUUGUGGUUCGUGGUCUGCCAUACAGGGUUUCACUAAAACGAGCAUAACAUGUUACUCCGAGAUGGAAUUUUAGCAAACUCAGUGGCGUUGGAAAGAUAAUUCAAUUAUCUUUAACUUGAUAUCUCAUGGGCCACCUAAUUCAUUAUGUACUAAAAGAUAUGACCGUUUGAAGUUGACCCAAUAACAAAUUCCCUCUAAUUGGCUGCUGACCCUCACCUACAGUCUGUCGGUCCAACCACGGAUCGUACUAGUCGACCAUGGGUGGGAUCAGAGACCAUCAAUAUUUAGGCCUUAACGACGAAACCCCAUCUACGGUCCGUGGUUGAGCAAAAAGUUCACUCCAUAUGAGGCUCGUUACACUCUUUUGGAGAGAACAUGUUGUGCUUUGACUUGGAUCGCUCAAAAGUUGAGACAUUAAUUGUCUUCUUAUACCACAUACCUUAUUUCCAAGAUGGACCCGUUGAAGUAUAUUUUCCAGAAAGCAAUGCCGACCGGGAAGUUGGCUAAAUGGCAAAUGCUUUUGAGUGAGUUUGACAUUGUGUAUGUGACUCAAAAGGUGAUUAAAGCCCAAGCCUUAGCUGAUCAUCUUGCGGAGAAUCCAGUUGAUGAGGAGUAUGAACCGCUCAAUACUUAUUUUCCCAACGAGAAAGUUUCAUUUGUGGGUGAAGAUAUUUCUGAAGCCUACCUUGGUUGGAGAGUAUUCUUUGAUGGAGCGGCAAAUCACCAAGGGAAAGGUAUCGGAGCGGUCCUAGUGUCAGAAUCUGGUCAGCUUGCAUCCUAGGUCUAAGGAUGGCCAUUGAUAUGAAUGUUCACGAGUUGCUGGUUAUUGGAGAUUCAGAUUUGUUGAUUCAUCAGGUCCAAGGAGAUUGGGCUGUGAAAAAUCCAAAGAUCACACCGUAUGUGCAGUAUAUACGGAAGUUGUGCAAGAGAUUUCGCAAGAUUGAGUUCAGGCACACUCCCAGUACACAGAAUGAGUUGGCCGAUGCUCUUGCCACCAUCGCAUCAAUGAUUAAGCAUCCAGAUACAAGUUAUAUUGAUCCAGUGGAUAUAGAGGUAAAGGAGCAGCCUGUCCAUUGUUCACAUGUUAAAGCGGAACCAUAUGGUUUGCCUUGGUAUUUUGAUAUCAAGAAGUAUUUAGAGACCGGGACUUAUCUUGAGAAUGCAACGUUCAAUCAGAAGAAGUCGAUAUGUCGUAUGGUCCUCAAUUUCUUUGCAAGUGGAGAAAUCCUUUAUAGGGGGACUCCAGAUUUAGGUCUUCCCAGAUCCGUUGAUGCUAGUGAAGCUGCAAAGCUUCUGGAACAAAUACAGGCCGGAGUUUGUGGUACUCACAUGAAUGGACUCACUUUGGCGAGGAAGAUCCUCUGAGCCGGUUAUUUUUGGAUGACUAUGGAGCAUGAUUGUUGCAAGUUUGCGCAGAAAUGUCAUAAAUGUCAAGUACAUAGUGAUUUGAUUCGAGUGCCACCUCACGAACUCAAUGCUAUGAGUUUGCCUUGGCCGUUUGUAGCUUGGGGAGUGGAUGUCAUUGGUCCAAUAGAGCCAGUCGCCUCUAACAGACACAUACUCAUUUUGGUUGCCAUUGACUACUUCACCAAGUGGGUGGAAGCAACUUCGUACAAGUCGGUAACCAAGAAAGUUGUAGCUGAUUUUGUUCGCAACAACCUGAUUUGCAGGUUUGGAGUACCAAAAUCCAUCAUUACUGAUAAUGGAGCGACUCUUAACAGUCACUUGAUGAGAGAGAUAUGUGAACAAUUCAAGAUUACUCACCAAAACUCAACCGCCUAUAUUCCCCAAAUGAAUCGAGUUGUAGAAGCCGCCAACAAGAACAUAAAGAAGAUUUUGAGGAAAAUGAUUGAUAAUCGCAGAGGUUGGCAUGAGAUGUUGCCAUAUGUUUUAUUGGGUUACCGAACGACUAUUAAAACACCUCUCAAUGCUCUAACGCCCACACCGGAUAUUAAGUUGGAGCUACUCCAUAUUUGCUAGUAUAUGGAACAGAAGCAGUUAUACCUGCGGAAGUUGAAAUACCUUAAUUGAGAAUCAUCCAAGAAGCUGAAUUGAGUGAUGCUAAAUGGGUUCGCAAGUGGAUUGAUCAGUUAACAUUGAUUGAUGAGAAAGAAUGGUUGUUGUUUGUCAUGGACAACUGUAUCGGCAGAGAAUGAUUCGUGCUUUCCACAAGAAAGUAAGCGCUAGAAUAUUUGAAAUUGGUCAGUUAGUUCUCAAACGCAUUUUCCCUCAUCAAGAUGAGUACAAAGGGAAAUUUACACCAAAUUGGCGAGGACCCUACAUGGUUCGCAAAGUGUUAUCUGGAGGUGCCCUGGUCCUGUCGGAGGUGGAUGACACUGAAUGGCCGAAAUCGAUCAACUCAGAUGUUGUCAAGAGAUACUACGUGUGAAGCUUCAGUUUGUAUUUCUGUUAUUUCCUUGCAAUCGUUCCAUUUGCUUGUAUUUGCUUUGCUUAGAAUCUAUCCCUAUGUAAUGAACUAUGUCUGACCUGAAUUCUCAAGAAUGAGAUACGUUGGCGGCCUAUGUCAGCCUCGGUUGGUUUCUUUGUAAAUAUAUUAUUUUUGUUAAUCCUCGAGAAGGAGAACUACGUUUGACCUGAUUCCUGCCUCAACGGGAUACGUAGGUGCCACAAGGGCUCGAUCAUAUCUCCCGAAAGAUUUUUAUUUUUCUUUACAAUAGAAAUUGGGAUAGAAUUUUUGAGAGGGACUCAAAAAAUCUCGAAAAGAGGAUUUCUUCAACAAGUCAAGACUGAGAAUGCGUUGAUAACUGCAACUGUGACAAAAUUUUGAGAGGGUCUUAAAAAUUCGGUGAUUUGCUCACCAACGGUUAAAGAUAAGUCAAGACAAUUAACUGGGACAGAAAUUUUGAGGUUGGCCUCAAAAUUUCCACAGGGUUUAUCGGCAGUUCAGAGCAACUUUGAAUACUUCCCAACAAGUAAUUAGAUAGAUCUCGAAACAUCAACUCCAAUGGCGUUCAUUAAACUCGACGUGACAUGACACUUGGCAGUGACCUUUUUCAAACAUCACUUUUGAAAAUCUAUUUUCCUUAAAAAACUUUUCUUUCAUGUUUUUAUUAUUUUGGCAUAAAAAUGUUUUGUCUUAUCUAUCAAGAAGCGGGAGAUCAGAAAAAUCAACCGGAGAUAGCAAGACAAGGAGCAGACCACCGAAGAGAUCAACACAGAUCAGUUCAUUUUUUAAACUGACAAUUUUUCUAUGGAUGCAGGUCUAUAGGUUGCCUCAAAAUCAGCAUAUUAUUUCAUUCAAUGAAUACGGAGAAGUUAAAAGGGCGAAGAGCUCCCCAAAAUUGACAAUUUUUUCUGUGAAUGCAGGAAAUGAUUUAUGCUGCUUAUAUUAAAAAUGUUGAAAUAUGAAUAACAGUAUUUCAUUCAAUUCCCAACAAGGCGAGGUCCAUAAUGAAUAUGCAAAUAUGUUCAGGGCUGGAACAAAUGAAAACCUCGAAGAAAGAAAUUUUAUUUGUUUUCCAGCAACUAAAGAAACUUGGAGGACAUUAUCUGCAUCAUAUUAUCAGAUAUGAUGAUAUUCUUACCUUGAAGGUUAUUUAUACUGUAUUGUCGACUGAGAUAAUACCACUACUUGGAGAGUUAUUUAUAUUGUAUUGUCAAAUGAGAUGAUACCGCUACUCCGAGGGUCAUUUUUAUUUAUAUUGUCAAAUGAGAUGAUACCACUACUCUGAGGGUCAUUUUUAUUUGUAUUGCCGAUUAGGACAAAACUGCCACCCAGAAGAUACCCAGAAGAUCACUUAUGUUGCUUGGUGAAGCAUUAUCUUCGUUCGGUAUCAGGGAGGCAUCAAGAGAAAAAGGCAUGCAUCGCAAGAAAAGAUUCAUGCAUUACAAGAGAAGAAUUCAUGCAUUGCAAGAAAUUCAUGCAUCGCAAGAAGAGAUUCAUGCAUUGUAAGAGAAGAUUCACGCAUCGCGGGAGAAGGAAUUCAUGCAUCGCGGGAAAAAGAAUCAUGCAUCGCGGGAGAAGGAUUUCAUGCAUCGCGAGAAAAGAUUCAUGCACUACAAGAGAAGGAUUCAUGCAUCGCGAGAAAAUAUUCAUGCAUUGCAAUAGAAGAAUUCAUGCAUUGCAAGAUAAGAUUCAUGCAUCGUGGGAAGAGAUUCAUGCAUUGCAAGAGAAGAUUCAUGCAUCGCGGGAAGUGAUUCAUGCAUUGCAGGAGAAGAUUCAUGCAUCGCGGGAAAAAGAUUCAUGCAUCGCGGAAGAAGGAGUUCAUGCAUCGCGAGAAAAGAUUCAUGCAUUACAAGAGAAGAAUUCAUGCAUCGCGAAAAAGAAACCAUGCAUCGCGAGAAAGAGAUAUAUGCAUAGCAAGAAAAAGAGCCAUCCAUAGCAAGAGAAAAGGUCAUGCAUCACGGGAAAGCGAUUCAUGCAUAACAAGAGAAGGAUUCGUGCAUCGCGAAAAAGAAGUCAUGCAUCGCGGAAAAGAGUCAUGCAUCGCAGGAGAAAAGAGUUAUGCAUCACAGCAGAAAGAUUUACCCAUUACAAGAAGAUCAACAUCGACUGCAUCAUUUUUCUUUGCAACAACGACAUCAAGAGAAUUAUCAACAUAUUACAUCAGCCUAUUUUGUUACUUUGACGACAAAAGAAGAGUACAUUGAAGAUUAUAUCACAAAUAUGAGACAUAAACUUUAUUUGCUUUAUGUCAAACCCAAUAGAGUUGACUUCAGAUGUUCAAGGAGAGCAAUUAAGUGUCAACACGGUAAAAGACAUUGUCUCCCAUUUGAGUCGCAUCUUUUAUGUUAAUGAGUUUUAUCUCAGUCUUUGUCGAGAGCAUCCGAAAGGAUGAAUUCUCAAAGCAAACCACAGGUGCGGACGACAUCAAAAAGGAUGCAGCACAACAUGGAACAUUUUCUUAGCAGCGAACUGGGACAUAGUCCAAAGAGGAGUGUCAAACUCUUAGGACGCGAGCAGAGGAGCGACUUCCACCACAAUCAAACCACACCCCUAUCAGAAGGCAUGUGGGUUAUCUUUGGAUUUGUUGAUUUCAGUUUCAGAUCCAAAAAAUUUGGUAUCUACCGGAAGCAGCUUUCCAGUCUAAGUGACAAUGCACCAAGAGCUUUGGAAAUUAUGUCCGUGUAAGUUUUAAUUAUGGGUGUGAAGUGCACAACAUUCAUGGCUAAGAAGUUGCAAGCCUCUUUUUCAUAACUCGACUUACUUUGUCACUUUUCCAGAACUGAAGGUUAUCCUGCAUAAUAGAUUUCCUUUUCAAUCGAUUGAGUCGAACUACAAGCAGCCUGAUUCCCUAACUUGAGGGAUAUGUAGGCAGCAUCAGUGUUGAAACUCGGUUGUAUUCCAUCAUUGAUUCUUAAAUCUUAUUCUCGAGCAUUCCGGUCCCUCCAUAAUUCAGUGUCAAGAUGGCUUUUGAAUUCUUUCAAAAUCAUGCGUCAAAUCGAGCCUAUCGAACUACAAAUGGCCUGAACUCUCAUAUAGCCUGAGAUAUGUAGGAGACCCAUUUCCAGGGUUCAGCCAUAAUUCCCAAAGUCCGUACCAAAAUCCCUUUUUCAUAAAAGAUGAAGAUGUGGUCGGUCAAAAUUGGAUUCGUCAAUUUCAUUUUCCUCGAAUUUCUUUCACCAAUCCAAAUCAAAUGAGGGACAGUUGUUGACACCCAAAUUUGACCCUCCCCGAUAUUAAUUGAUCUUUGAGCUUCCUAAAUUCCAGGCGACUUGAAAUAAUUAGUUUUUAUAAAGAUCAAGUAUUUUUCAAGUUACUUUAAUUAAUUUUAUAAAUUUUAAAUAAUAUAUAUAUAUAUAUAUAUAUAUUUUGUAUAAUUUUGUAUAUAAUUAGUAUAUUUUAUAAACAUUUCAAAAAUCGUUUCAAAAAGAUUUUAGUUUUUACUUAAAAAACUUUAUUAACUUAAUUUUGUCUAAAUUGCUAUUUUAUAUUUUGGGUCUUUAGUUUUAUUUAGCUAAUUAUUUUGUUCCGUUAAAAUUAAGAAGCUCCUUAGUUAAUUAUAUCAAUUCGUCUUAUUUGAAUUACUAGCCGAACUUAUCCUAAUUAAUUUAGUUUGACUACAUUUUUAAUUCCCAUUUGGCUAUAACAUAAAUCCCUAUUGCCAAAGCUCAAAUUUAACACUAGCCUAUUGAUUUUAAGAGAAAAAACCAAUUAUUUGGGCCUAUCUUCUCCUCCAUUUUCCAGUAUUAUAUACCAACAAUACCAAAUAAUUUUUCAGCCCACCAAUUCAUUAGCCCCACAACCCACCAGCAGAUCCAAUUCAAUAUUCCUUCAGCCAAAUUCUUUCUUAAAUGGCCCAAACCACUACCAAUUCCAAAUCCAAAAAGACCCCACCAACAAUUCAUCACAACAAUCCAGCCAACAAUAGCAAACAGUACCCGAACGACCCCACCCCUGCAUCAUUUUUCUUCUUCGCGAAACCCAGCAGUAUGAGCUAAAAAUCGUGAGCAGCAGCCCAGUAGCAGCACCGACCCAGCAGAACGAGACCCAAAUUGCAAUCCAGUCCAGCAAAUUGACCCGGAAUCGGCAGUCCAAAAGCGUCAAUGACAUCUGCCUCACGUCCCUUUCAGUUGGUACAAACCGCAACAACAAAGGGAAGCACGCGUCUGUCCCAUAUCCUCUUCCGGAAUGGGAUGAAACUUCUGACAAAAGGAUGUUUGGCCGAUUUGGUGAAAGAAAUUAGGAGUUUGAAUUUCAAAAUAGGCCCCAUCUUGUCAAAGAUUUUUGAUCGUUUUCCCUAUUUCUUAACCUUAGUUUCCUUCUAUAUAAUGGCUUUUAUUCAUUGUAGAAGAAGGGGGGAAUUUUUUGUGAGAUUUUUCGGAGUGAAAAAUACAGAGAGAGUUUGAGCAGAAAAUUUUCAAAGACGUACUGCAGAAUACAUUUCGAAAGAAAAGAGAUAAUAGUUCCGAUGUUUGGUCAAAUUUUUGCUUGUAUUUUUUUGUCCGCGUGAGUUCAUCAGAUUCGUCGUUUGUGGUGGUGGAAGCUCAUCGCCUCUUUCUCGUCCCGUCCCCGCUAGCUGCCCAUUGAGAGCCAACUAUAAAAAUCGACGAACAUGUCUCGAAGGUGGAAAAAUGCGAAAGUGAAGGAGAAUUGAAAAUUUGUAUUUUGUUAUUGUUGAACCUAAGCUUAUUUAGUCAUUAUGUUUAUUAUUUUAUUAGAAUUUAGGGCAGGUGAAAAUUUGAGCCUAAGGCCCAAAGAAAAAUAUUUCUUCUGCGUUAGUAUAGGAUAGGUGCAGGUGACUUAAAUGGGCCGAAGGCCCAAAAUGAAAAUGGACCCAAGUACUGGUCUAGGCGGACAAAAAAAACCAUAAUUGGGCCCAAAUCUCUUUCCCUCUUUGUUUUAUUAUGUUUAUUUACUUGUUAAUAUUUGUCAUUAAUCUUAAAAAAAAUAAAAAUAAUUGCAAAUUAUCUCACUUAAAUAGUAUUCUAGUAUUCCCCCCCCUCCCCCUUUUAAAAUGAUUCUAAAAAUUGUUCAAUUCAAAUUAAAUCAAACGAAUUUAGUCAAAUAAUUAAUUGCCGGAUAACCGCGUAUUAUCGGGCAUUUUGGGUGCUUUCAAACCCUUCUCGAAAUGCUAAUAUGAACACCGAACCCCUUUGAAUAUUUUCAUUAGAUUUCUGUUUUAAUCUUUUGAAAAAGUGGUUUUCUUAAUUUUCUCUUAAAAAUUAAGUGGUGACUCUUAAACCAAUCUAAGUAUGUUUUUAAAUUAAACAGCAUUUACAAUCAAUACCUCCUCAAAUAUUCUGCCCAAUGUGUCCUUUGUAUAUGACGCUAUUUCUCUAUUUUUUAUAGUUCCAAGAACCAAAUAGAAGUCUAGCCUCUAAUAAGAAAUCUAAUAUAGGUAAUUGACGUGCCUCAACAAGGCAACCAUUGAUACAUUCUGCGAUGUUCGAAGUCAUCAUUUUACCUAUGUUUAUUGUUGAUUGAACUCUCGACCACUUCUUAUACCCAACAUCCUCAAGAUAAUCCUUCACCCUAUGAUCAACUUAUACCACCUUAGCCAUUAAUUUAUCAAAAUCCUCCUUUCGAUAUGCCUUUGCCAUUGAGUAGAAUAUAUCAUUUAGUGUGUUUUUGCUCAUUUUGAAGUUUGAACAGACAUUCAUCCAAAUGUGCCAUAUGCAUGCACAAUGAGGUACAUUUGGGAACACAAUGCUUACACUCUUCAUAAUACUUUCAUUUUUAUCUGAUACAAUACACAUGUUUUCAUGCUCACCAAAUGCAUUUUUUAAUUGUUCGAAGAACCAUGUCCAGGAACAGUCAUUUUAAGUGUCUACAACACCAUAUGCCAACGUCAAUACGCAACUUAAUUACAAAGAAAAACACAUUUAACUACUUGAUACAUAACAUUUACACUAAAGAUACAUUAAUUAUACAUAUAAAACGAGUUCACAAUUAUAACAGUAUUACAAAAGUCACACUUGCACCAUCGAGUGUGCUCGCUGAUACAAAAGUACCUUUGUAAGCCCCGCCAAGAUGUGCACCGUCCACUACAACUACAAGUCUGCAGUAGUCGAACCUUCUCAUUAAUGGCCUCAAGGCUUUGAAAAGAUGCAUGAAUUCAUUAUUUUCUGACUUGUGAAUCCAUAUUUAUGAAUUUGAAUACACAGUAUUUAGCAUGCAUAUGUAUCUCGGCAUGUGCCUAUAUCCAUCUGAUGGUUUACCCCUUAGCAUUUCUAGUGCACGUUCCUUAGCACGCCAUGCUUGCUGGUAUGAUAUUUCAACCCAUUAGAAUUUUCGAAUAUCUUCAAUUACAUCUUUCGGCGUAUGAAUUUGUUUAUGAUUUAGCAAUUUAGGGGCAGCCACACAACUAAUAAACCCAACUGUUGCUUGUACUUUUGUUAGUAUCCUAUCCCGCAUUGGACACGUAUGUUCACUAUUGAAUUAUCUCACUUUGAAUACAUCAGAUUUCUUUAUGCACGAAGCCUUUAAACUCCAGCCACAUUCAUCACUGAAGCACACUAACACAUACAUGUACAAAUAUUUUUAUCAGAUUAAUUCAUAUAACAUAUACAUUUCAAAUAUACAAUGUUACAGUGUUUCAUAACUUGUCACAUAAUUAUCCACAUUAAUGUAUAAUCCAUAAUAACGACCACACCAAUUUUUUUACAAUAUUUUUAUGUAUUAGAUUCACAAGUUUAUCACGAUACACCUAAUCUAAUAAACAAUACUAAUCCUACUAAUAAUCAUUACCAAUUUGUUCAAAUCUCAAACACUAACAAACUUAUCAAUAUAAUACAUAUACUAAUUAUACUUAUGUAUCACACACAUUAGAAAAUGGAAGUGUAUCAUCAUUCAUAUAUCUAGAAACUGAAGAAAACCAAUUCAAAUUAGAGAUCAAACACUUCAAUACCUUUUUCUAUAUGAUCUUUUCACUCUGAAAUUGAAGUUGUUCUUUAUUUAAUAUUUCACCAUUACAUCAAUGAGUGUUGCUUUAUCCUUAUACAACUGACCCGUCUUCACAUUUGUACUCUUGGAAUAAGUUAUGUAAUUUGUAGCAUUUAAUUCUGAAAUAUAAUAUGAAUCACAAAUUCUUGAUUCAAUCAUAGGAAGAGCUUCUGUAUCUCUUUUUGACCCUUCGACGCAUAGGAUUUAUCCGGAUCUACCAUCUAUAUGCAAAUUCUCUGUAACUUUCGAUCGAAUUCUGCUUCAUCUUCUCCAAGGAGUAACGAUCAGGAACGAUCUCCACAUUGUAGGUGAAUAGUUCGAUGAAGUCCUUAGCCUGAGCGUUCCAGCUAGACCACUGUCUCGUUUCAUGAGACGUAAACCAUUCUAGAGCCUCUCCUCUCAGACUUUGGCUAAAAAGCCGCAUUAACAAAGUUUCGUCUCUCCCAACUCCCACGAGUUGGUCACAGAAGGCCCUCAGGUGUGCUAAGGGGUUCCCCGAUCCUCCGAAGAUGUCGAAUUUUGGCACCUUGAACCCUUCCGGGAGGUCCAAAUUCGGAUGAAUGCACGGGUCUUCGUGACUCAACCCGGCGACCUCAGGAAUGCAGUUCAACUCCUUCAUGGCUUUUCUAAUUUCCUCCUUCAUAUCUAUCUUAGCAGUCUCUAUCUUUGACCUUCACUCUCUAUCCCUCUCCCUCUCCUCAUAGUGGUCGAGCUCCGAACCAUGGGCGUCAUGCUCGUUGGGGACCGAGAUUUGGAAAGUGGCUUUUUAAGGUAGGGGUGGAGCAAUUGAGGGGCUCUGGCCAUUUAAAGGGGCGCGAUAGUUUUGGGGGAAAGUCUGGGGGCUGGUAUACUGGUUUUGGUGAAGGAGGGAAGUGCGUGGGUUAUUAGCAUUUUGGCUGUGAGGGGGUAGACCAGUUUGGUGGUUUGCAUUGGGGGGAGGGAGUGGUGCUUGGAGGUUGGUAUUUUGAGGAGGGGGUGGUGUUUGAUAAGAGGCUGAGGCGAAAUGGGGGUUUGGGGCGGUAAGGUCAAUGAUGGAGGGAUUAUGAGCNNNNNNNNNNNNNNNNNNNNNNNNNNNNNNNNNNNNNNNNNNNNNNNNNNNNNNNNNNNNNNNNNNNNNNNNNNNNNNNNNNNNNNNNNNNNNNNNNNNNNNNNNNNNNNNNNNNNNNNNNNNNNNNNNNNNNNNNNNNNNNNNNNNNNNNNNNNNNNNNNNNNNNNNNNNNNNNNNNNNNNNNNNNNNNNNNNNNNNNNNNNNNNNNNNNNNNNNNNNNNNNNNNNNNNNNNNNNNNNNNNNNNNNNNNNNNNNNNNNNNNNNNNNNNNNNNNNNNNNNNAUAAUAUGACAUUGGACUUAGUAAAUUGGGCUCAUCUAUAGCCCAAAUCAAUUAAUUUUGACUUUAAUCAAAUUCAUAUUUAUUGGACUUGAAUAAUUAGCCCAAUUAUAUUAAUUCAUAAUUUAUUUGGACUAAUAUAUUCAUGAAUUUAAUAUAAUCCGAAUCAUUUUAUAAAUUUAUAUUUAAUAAAUUUUAAAUGAUUACAAAUGCCCCCUGCUUCAAGUCUUGCCGAGAUAUUUUAUCUUUUAAAGACUAGGCUUGAAGCAUUAAUCAGUUACUAAAUUGAUCUUGAGUCAAAUAAAAUAAACUAAUCAAUGCAAUUUAUUUAUUUAACAUUUCACCAAUUACUUGGAAGAUUCCAAUCAAUAUUAUACAUAUAUUGUCAAAAUUUCCAACAUAAGUAUAUACUUCAGAUGGUCUUUUGAACGGAGGAACCUAAUUUUAGGGCCCACAUUUUACUGCCACCGUUUCAUGUCUCCAAAGAUGUCAAGGAUUAGGCUACAAAUUAUUUCAACGCCACAAACCGUUCCUUAUUUUAUUCGAAGUGACCAAUCGCCUUAGUUAAAAAUGAAUUGUAAUUGAACUAGGAAUUGUAAUCCUACUCAAUUUCAUAUUCAUAUAUAUGUUUUAUUGUCUUAGCUGAAAAGGAAUUGUAAUUGAAUUAGGAAUCGUAAUUCCACUCAAUUUCAUAUUCAUAUAUCUUUUCUAUUGUUUUAGACGAAAAUGAAUUGUAAUUAAACUAGGAAUUGUAAUCCCACUCAAUUUCAUAUUCAUAUAUCCUUUCUAUUGUCCUAGCCAAAAAGAAUUGUAAUUGAACUAGGAGAAUGAUUUAAUUCCCAUCACAUGACAUCUAUAAAUAGGCACAUUGUCUCCACAAUUUUGUCUUCAAUUACAAAUUGUGAGCUACGAACCUAUGACGAAAGGGGCAUAAUUCAAGGUAACCUCCCUCCCUUUUCCUGAUUUUCGUCACUUUUUUAUAGUUUGACACGUCCGUCGUAGAAAAUUGAUAUCUCAUUGUAGAAAAAUUGAAAUCAUGAACGGUUUGAUUUUUCAGAAACUAGACUUCUCGAUCUCUAACAUAUCCAAAAUUCAGAAUUUAAUACCUUCAGAAUAUAUUUAUUUUUUUUGAUGAAUUUUUGAAGUUAGCUCUAGAUUCUGUCAUGCUGAAAAUUUCAGAUUUGUGUAGCUUUUCUAAAACUCUUGUGCAUGUACUAAUGUAGGAACAACGAAAUCACAAGACGCUUGAUUAUUUCGAAUCUAGACACAAAUGUCUAAAGCAUAUCCGAAAUUCAAAAUUUAAUACCUUCGGAAUCAUUCCAGAUACUAUUGCAAAGUCAACUUUAGAGUUUGGUGCACCAAAAAUUUCAGAUUUGUGCGAUGACACCAAAAAAAAAUUGUAUAUCGAGGUAGAAGUAUCGAAAUUGCGAUCCACUCGAUUCUACAAAAACUAGACACAAAAGGCCAUAACAUACACAAAAUUUAGGAUUAAACUCCUUUAUUAUUGUUCUAGACAAAAAAAAUUUGAAGUUAACUUUAAAUUCUGUCACAUAGUUGAUUGCAGAUUUUUUGUUGCCUCACAAAAUAUUUUAUAUCUUGAUGUUGGAAUGUCAUCACCAAAAAGGGUUGUGAUCGCUGGAUACUAUACUUCAAGGGUUUUAUUAUUACCAAGAAAAUAUUGUCUCAAGUCUAACCUAGUUAGCUUAGCAUAGCUUCUAAGUCUCAAACGUCUUGAUGGGUAACAAUCUCUCCUUUACUUAUAUCUUCUUUGUAUUGUCCUCUUUUUUGUGUUUUUUUUUUUGUAGAUCAACAAAAACAAUAUUUGUAUUUUUCGCGGAGGCUACACAAUAGAGAGCUUUAACACACAAGAAUUUGAUCUGGAGGUAUGAAGGGAUGUGUUUAACGUCUCUGUCUUGAAGAUCACCGACUUGAGGCUUUACUAGAAUACUGUGUUUAACGUCCCCACCUUGAAAAAAAAUACUACUCUCAAGGCGUUACAAGGUUCCGAAUACUUAACCGACUUGAGGCUUUACUAGAAUACUUUGUUUAAUGUCCCCACCUUGAAAACAAAUACUACUCUCAAGGCGUUACAAGGUCCCGAAUGCUUAACCAACUUGAGGCUUUACUAGAAUAAUGUGUUUAACGUCCCCGCCUUGAAAAAAAAACUACUCUCAAGGCGUUACAAAGUCCCGAAUACUUAAGCAUAAGGUGUGAAGGGAUAUGUUUAACAUCCCCGCCUUGAAGAUCAUUAACUUGAGGCUUUAUAAGAUCUUUUUAAGGAUAAAUCCGCGAAAAGACCAGCUUAAGGUGCAAAGGGACAAAUCUUGUCCACCUUAAGGCAUGGUCGGUUUUUGUUACUCCUGGCCCGCAAGAGUAUAAACUGUGUAUGGCAAAAAAAACAAUUUUUUUUUUAAUCUAAGGAUAAAUUUGUGAAGAGGUCAGCUUAAGGUGCAAAGGGACAAUUUUGUCCACCUUAAGGCAUGGAAAUUUAAAGAUCCGUUUAAGGAUAAAUCCGCGAAAAGGCUAGCUUAAGGUGCAAAGGGACAAAUUCGUCCACCUUAAGGCAUGGAAAUUCAACGACGUGCACAUUUGGAGGAAUUGGAGACUUCUACUUACAUACUUGAAGUCUUACUUGCACACUUAUAGGAUUCGAAUACUUCAACUUGUAUACUUAGAGGAUUUAAAUACUUCAACUUGUAAACUUAAAGAAUUUAAAAACUUCAACUUGCAUACUUGGCUAAAUUUAAAUACUUCAAGUCAACUGUUAAAGAAACACAUAUUUUAUCCAUUGACCCAUCAAUACUUCGUACAAGUCUAAAGUUUGAUAAAAUAAAAGAUAAAACAAAAUACUUAUUGUUUUAACUUUUAUGUGAGAUCAAGUGGGAACAUGUGGUUUUUUGUCACUCAUGCAACUGAACUUAGGAUAUAUUCUAAGCGCCUACGUACCUCAGUGAAGAGGAUCAAGUCACAACGUAGUUCUGGGGGAUUAAGUGAAAUUUUUUAUUUUAUUUUUUUGUUUGUGCCGUACACAGUUUAUACUCUUGCGGGCCAGGAGUGACAUGCAGUUUAGGCUCGUACCUUAAGGAGCAUCAUCUUACUUCAAGGGUAGUACCUCUUUAGGAAUUUUGAAUUAAUAGGACCGAUCCUUACGCCAUCUGCAUCAACAAGCUUAUAAGCACCAUGUGAAUAUGCUUCUUGUACAACAUACGGUCCAUCCCACUUUGAGGUAAAUUUUCCCCCAGACUUGUGCGAAGUAAUGAUGGGUCUUCUUACUGCGAGAACUUGGUCUCCAACUUGGAAACACCUCAAGCGAACUUUCUUAUUGAAAGCACGAGAUAGACGAGCUUGAUAACAUUCAAGGUUUUGUUGGGCUUCUAGCCUCUUUUCGUCAAGUGCUUCUAACUCAACAAGACGCAGUCAAGCAUUUUCUUCUUCAGUGAGCCCUUCUUGAAUAGCAAGUAUUAAGGAAGGUAUUUGACGCUCGAGUGGCAGGACUGCUUCAACUCCGAAAGCAAGUGAAUAUGGUGUUGCUUGAGUUGGUGUGCAGUAUGUUGUCCUAUAUGCCCACAAAGCUUCUUCCAUUCUUUCAUGCCAAUCCCGUUUGGACUUGGAGACAACUUUCUUCAGAAGGUUGCAUAGAGUUUUAUUGAAUGCUUCAUCAAGACCAUUGGCGGCGGCAUGAUACAUAGAAGAUUUACGCUGCUUGAAGCAAAAGAGAUCACAAAUUUUGUUCAUUACCUUGUUAUCAAAUGCCUUGCCAUUGUCCGUUAUUAUUUAGCGAGGGAUGCCGAAACGAUAGAUGAUAUUCACUCGGAUAAAAUUUGCAACAUUCUCUUUCUUCACUUCUUUAAGAGCAACGGCUUCAGCCCAUUUUGAGAAGUAAUCUGUUGCAGCCAAGAUGUACAAGUGUCCACCAGAAGAUUUUGGUAGUGGUCCCACAACAUCCAAUCCCCAAGCGUCAAAUGGCCAAGAUGCGAUAGUUGGGUGCAAUACUUCAGGCGGCUGAUGUAUGAAAUUUGCAUGAAAUUGACAAGCAUCGCACCUCCGAGCAUAAUCUAAGCAAUCCUUCACCAUGGUUGGCCAAUUAUACCCCAUUCUCUUUAUGUGAAAGUGGAGUUUCGGUCCAGAUUGAUGUGAUCCACAUACUCCUGAGUGUGCUUCUUGCAGAGCUUGAAUUGCUUCUUCCUCUCCCAAACAUCGUAAUAGUACACCCUCAAAUGAUCUUCUAUAUAAUGUUUCCUUGUAGUAAAGGAAACGAGGUGCAUGACGACAAAUGUCAGUCCUUCUCCUUAAAUCUUCUGGAAGUAUCCCAUAACACAUGUAGUCAAUAAUGGAUGAAUAAAAGGCAUAAACACAGAAAUUACCUGGAGGGUCAUUACAAAAUUGUUAACACUUUAGAAAACUUUGAUCUAGACACUUUAUGCAUCAUUUUCAGAAAUAAAUCAACAUUGCUAGAUCUCUUAUAAUUCUAUUGACAAAGUAUAGUAAACUUCAGUUGAGCUAGAGCAUAGAAAAGUCAAAAGAAGUCUAAUUACAUAAAUACAUAAAAAGUAAAAUGAGAAAUAGGUAGUAAAUGUUAAGCACCUGAAGAGUUCACAUUUCAACAUACAAUAGCAUCAAGUUUAGAACUUAGAAUUUUUCAUGGUCAUACUUCCACAUCUAUAUGCUGAAGAAUGAAUAGAUAUUCUUUAGGAUCGUCAAAAAUCACAAUUAAAAAUAAUGCAAAAAUUGACGGAUAGGGUCGUUGCAUGAUACCGAGGGAAAACCAAUGCAGUCCAUUGUGUUUUUUUUUUAGAUAGAAAACUGACAGACUCUUAGAAAAUCAACGAACGCUCAUCACGUUUUUGUGCAAAUAUUUAAAUUUUUCAAAAAUAUAAACGACGCAAUCCCUCAAUUAUUUUUCUUACAAAAAUCGAGGGACUCUGAUGAUUUUUGAAGUGCGAUAUUGUAGUGAUACAUUUCAUAGCUUACUAGUCACCAGAAACUAAUAAAGCAUGAAUGUAUGAGGGAAAAAUAUCUUAGCAAAUUAACCUUAAUAGGCACUCAACUGACCAUGUAAACUAAAUAUAGUUGGAGAAUAUAUAAUUAGUGUAUAUUUCAUGUAUACUAGUGAAUUUGGCCGAAUACUUAACAAAAAUCCCAAAGAACUUACUAAACUAGUUAAGAAAACAUAUUUUAGCAUUUCAAGCAUUUCUUAAUUGGAUAAAAUUUAACUUAAUAGGAUGUAAUAAAUUAACAACCACAAGAUAGUAAAUCUUAAUCAAGGAAUAAGUUGGCCCCAAAAAAUUCUAAAUCACACCACUAUAAGUCCAUUAUAUGUUACCUUGACAACAAGAAGAAUUGGAUGGGUAUGAAUUUAUAGAUCGAAGAAUUAGAGGACUAUAUAGAGCAAAAUUAUUUGACACAAAAACUAAGUAAUUUUGAAGGUGUUUCACAUAUUGGAUAAGUGAAUGCAUGUGAUACACUAUAUAUGCAAUAUAUGGUGGGUUACAUAUAUUGUUUUUUUGUGGACUUCUACAUACUAUUAAGAAUAAUUGUAUGUUGGUUGCUAUGGUCAAAAGGUUGACCCAAAUUAAUUGUUAUGUUUUAAGGUUUAAUUUUAAUGGGUCUAAAAGACACCUCACUAAGUAAGGGGCCUUAUGUGUAGCUAUCCAAAAGUAACUUCUAGUUUAAUGAUGUGCUAAAUUAAUUAUAAUCAUCAGCUCCGGAAUGGGAAGAGGAAACUCAUCUUUAGGACAUGCAUUAUUAAGAUCUCUAAAGUCAACACAUACUUGAAUUUGACCAUUCUUUUUCCUUACAGGAACAAUACUUGAAAUCCAUGUAGGAUACUUGACCUCACGAAUAAAGUCUGCCUCAAUGAGUUUGUUAACUUCAUUUUCUAUCAAUGGAACCAAGUCUGGCCUAAAGCGUCUUUGAGCUUGCUUAACAGGACGAGAACCAUUUUUGACUGCCAACUGAUGGACCGCNNNNNNNNNNNNNNNNNNNNNNNNNNNNNNNNNNNNNNNNNNNNNNNNNNNNNNNNNNNNNNNNNNNNNNNNNNNNNNNNNNNNNNNNNNNNNNNNNNNNNNNNNNNNNNNNNNNNNNNNNNNNNNNNNNNNNNNNNNNNNNNNNNNNNNNNNNNNNNNNNNNNNNNNNNNNNNNNNNNNNNNNNNNNNNNNNNNNNNNNNNNNNNNNNNNNNNNNNNNNNNNNNNNNNNNNNNNNNNNNNNNNNNNNNNNNNNNNNNNNNNNNNNNNNNNNNNNNNNNNNNNNNNNNNNNNNNNNNNNNNNNNNNNNNNNNNNNNNNNNNNNNNNNNNNNNNNNNNNNNNNNNNNNNNNNNNNNNNNNNNNNNNNNNNNNNNNNNNNNNNNNNNNNNNNNNNNNNNNNNNNNNNNNNNNNNNNNNNNNNNNNNNNNNNNNNNNNNNNNNNNNNNNNNNNNNNNNNNNCUUGUAGUCGAUUCUCCAAGUCGAUCAAAGACGGAAGGCUUUUUGUUGGGAGUAGCGACAUCAUCUUCAAAAGUUAUAUGGUUGUUGCUUGCCCUUCUUAUGGAAAUGCGAAUUGGUGGUGGUUGGCUAUAGCCUAGGCCUUCACGUGCUUGCCUAGUUGUAUCUUCUGAUGGGAGUUUCCCUAACAUUGAUGGCUCAUCAGGGUUGUAUCCAGCUUUCACAAAUAACUUGUAAGCGUUGGGAUCAAAACCUUCUCUUGUGCGUUUUGUGGAGAGUGCCACAUCUCGCACUUGAUUUCGAGCGAUUGAAUUUUCUUAUUGCAUCGAUCUGUCUGAUAGGAAGAGUUAGCCCUCUCAAUGCAUUUUCUUGAAGGUUAGAUGAUUGAUCUUCUUCUUUCUUCACUUUUGGAACAUAACGAAGCCCAGAAGUCAGCUUCUUCUUCGAAGACAUGAUUUUCCCUUCAUUAAGAAUUGGACAAGGUUCUUUAGUGUAAUUUUUUACCUUUUCAACAGCCACAUCGAUUCUUUUGCUUGUGAUCUUAUCAGACUUGAUUGAUUUGACAUCAUUAGAUUUGGCCCCUUUAACAACAUAACUUUUCAAAUAGAAUUUCGCAUCGGCAAAGUGUGUCUCAACUUCGGUGAAAGGAUUAUCAUCUGCAACUAUCUUCCUUUCAAUCCCGCCUUCAAGAUACUUCAAACAUUGAUAGUAAGAAGAUGAGACAAUUCUAUUCUCAUGUACCCAAGGUCUGCCAAGUAAUAUAUUGUACGACGUGUUUGCGUCAAUCAUAUGCAUCCAUGCGCUUGAUCGCAAAUCUUCCAUGUGGAUCUUUAAUUUAAUAGAGCCUAUGGACUUCUGCCCCCCUGAUUAAAACCUUGUAUCAACAGACGACUUUCACUAAGUUCUCCAGUCGUGAUGCCGAGUUCCUUCAAUGUGUGGAUAGGCAGAAUGUUGACUCCAGAUCCUUCAUCUAUUAAGAUUCUAUUUAUCUUCUUCUCUAGCACGUGACCCUCCAUAUACAAAGGACGAUUGUGUAGUGUUUCACCGAAUAGAAUAUCAUUAUCUGUAAAUGUGAUUUUUGUAUCACAUGUAUGUGCUUCUUGGGAAGAAGGUUCAAUAGGUGUUUCAGAAGGUGAAAGAGACAUCAUUGACGAGAUUUCCCUUGUUGUCUUUUCAUCGUCAUUAGGAGACACAUUUGGUGAUGAUUCACUCGUUGUUCCUUCUUUGUAAGUAGGAGGUACCUUCAUUGUUUCUGCUUUAUCAGCAUUGAAACAUGAUGUCUCGACAUUGUCUUGAGUAGACUUUAUGUCGAACGAACUCGGUAAGAAUUCCUCUAGAGUCACAGGACGUCGGGGUUAUUGGAAGUGAUGCACUUCUACUUUUGCCCUCUUUGGGCUCUUGAUUGAUUUCUGCUUCUCCAAUUUCUUCACCAUUUCCUCUAAUAGGUGGCUUGGAUGGUUCUUUUCGUAAGCUUGACUUGUUGCGUCUUCGCCUAGUUACAAGAAUCCAGCCUUCGUCACCAUCUAUAUCAACUUCCUUCUCCAAUGACUCUUCUUCAUUAUUUUCAGAGAUAUGUAUUUGGACCGGAUUGAGUGAGCCGAACGUGAUAGAGAUCUAGUUAGAACUAGCCUUCUCAUCAUCAAGGACAAUUUUCUUUUCGUUAACCAAUCGCAUCACUCUAUCCUUGAAGACAAAACAUUUUUCGAGAGGAUGGCUCACAAGUCUAUGAUACUUGCAAUAAUUUGGGUCAUCAGCUUUUCCAGCUUCAUCGGGUCGUUUCAUCUCUGGCAAGUCAAUGAGCUAUAACUCGAGCAACUCAUCAAAAAUCUCAGAAACGUCAGAAUCCAAGAAGGGAUAUUUUUUCCUUGCAUCUCCCUUAGUGUCGACUUUUGAUUUGAAUGUGCUUAGAAAGCCGUUCUCAUAUUUUGCUUUCAUGCCCUCAUUCGUAGUGAUCUUCGCAGGCGACCCAUUAACAUUCAUGGAUUCUUUAUUGUCAUUUCUAGGCACAAAUUUACUUCAUCUCUUGGGUUCCUGCUUGUCGCUUCCUUUUGCGAGGGUCUCGGACAUACGUCAUAUCUUUUCUGGCAGAGGACAUGCUUAACUCCAUAUCAUGAGCGCGAGUAUCUAGAUCUUCGAAGGAUUUUGGUUUUAUUCCUUGUAAGAUGUAAAGAAGCUCCCAGUGCAUCCCUUGGAUACACAUUUCUAUUACAAAAGGUUCACUAAGCCUAUCCCNNNNNNNNNNNNNNNNNNNNNNNNNNNNNNNNNNNNNNNNNNNNNNNNNNNNNNNNNNNNNNNNNNNNNNNNNNNNNNNNNNNNNNNNNNNNNNNNNNNNNNNNNNNNNNNNNNNNNNNNNNNNNNNNNNNNNNNNNNNNNNNNNNNNNNNNNNNNNNNNNNNNNNNNNNNNNNNNNNNNNNNNNNNNNNNNNNNNNNNNNNNNNNNNNNNNNNNNNNNNNNNNNNNNNNNNNNNNNNNNNNNNNNNNNNNNNNNNNNNNNNNNNNNNNNNNNNNNNNNNNNNNNNNNNNNNNNNNNNNNNNNNNNNNNNNNNNNNNNNNNNNNNNNNNNNNNNNNNNNNNNNNNNNNNNNNNNNNNNNNNNNNNNNNNNNNNNNNNNNNNNNNNNNNNNNNNNNNNNNNNNNNNNNNNNNNNNNNNNNNNNNNNNNNNNNNNNNNNNNNNNNNNNNNNNNNNNNNNNNNNNNNNNNNNNNNNNNNNNNNNNNNNNNNNNNNNNNNNNNNNNNNNNNNNNNNNNNNNNNNNNNNNNNNNNNNNNNNNNNNNNNNNNNNNNNNNNNNNNNNNNNNNNNNNNNNNNNNNNNNNNNNNNNNNNNNNNNNNNNNNNNNNNNNNNNNNNNNNNNNNNNNNNNNNNNNNNNNNNNNNNNNNNNNNNNNNNNNNNNNNNNNNNNNNNNNNNNNNNNNNNNNNNNNNNNNNNNNNNNNNNNNNNNNNNNNNNNNNNNNNNNNNNAACUUGAAUGCUUGAAUUCUUAAACUUGUAGCUUAUAGAGAAUUUUAUGGCGUUUGUACCACAAAUUUUCUCUAUUUUCUUGUUUAGAAUUUUCUGUCUUCUUUUUUGAAUUAUGAGGACCCAUAUUUAUAGUUUUAGAAUAGAGGAGUUGCGAUUGGAACAGGAUUCCCUUCGGCCAAUCAGAUUUAAGUGACAUGGCAUAUGGGCUUUAUGGAGCGGGCUUGUCAUCUUAGACAAAUGUCAUGGUCCUAUUGGCUUCUUGUUUGACUUGGCAUGCCACGUCAUUUGCCACUUGGCAUGCCACGUCAUUUGCCACUUGGCAUGCCACGUCAUUUGCCACUUGGCAUGCCACGUCAUUUGCCACUUGGCAUGCCACGUCAUUUGCCACUUGGCAUGCCACGUCAUUUGCCACUUGGCAUGCCACGUCAUUUGCCACUUGGCAUGCCACGUCAUUUGCCACUUGGCAUGCCACGUCAUUUGCCACUUGGCAUGCCACGUCAUUUGCCACUUGGCAUGCCACGUCAUUUGCCACUUGGCAUGCCACGUCAUUUGCCACUUGGCAUGCCACGUCAUUUGCCACUUGGCAUGCCACGUCAUUUGCCACUUGGCAUGCCACGUCAUUUGCCACUUGGCAUGCCACGUCAUUUGCCACUUGGCAUGCCACGUCAUUUGCCACUUGGCAUGCCACGUCAUUUGCCACUUGGCAUGCCACGUCAUUUGCCACUUGGCAUGCCACGUCAUUUGCCACUUGGCAUGCCACGUCAUUUGCCACUUGGCAUGCCACGUCAUUUGCCACUUGGCAUGCCACGUCAUUUGCCACUUGGCAUGCCACGUCAUUUGCCACUUGGCAUGCCACGUCAUUUGCCACGUGGCACCAAAAAUGGGCCUCUAGGAUGAGAUGAAUUUGGGCAUAGCAAAUUGGGCUCAUCCAUUGUAGCCCAAAUCAAUUAAUUUUAACUUUAAUUAAAUUCAUAUUUAUUGGACUUGAUAGUUAGCCCAAUUAUAUUAAUUCAUAAUUAAUUUGGACUAAUAUAUUCAUGAAUUUAAUAUAAUUCGAAUCAUUUUAUAAAUUUAUAUUUAAUAAAUUUUAAAUAAUUACAGUUGGUAUUUUGAGGAGGGGGUGGUAUUUGAUAAGAGGUUGAGGUGUAAUGGGGGUUUUGGGUGGUAAUGUCAAUGAUGGAGGAAUUACGAGCAGGACUUGAAGGCGGGUUUUGAGCUUGUUCCACAUUAGGAGGGGGGAUUUGAGCUGGAGGUCUUCCGUCUGGUUGAGCGUUGAAAGCAAAAAUUGGAGAAGGCAAAUCUUCUUUUCUCUGCAUCUCGACCCUCAUCUCAGCAAUUUGUUGCAUCAACUGCAGGAUCAGUUCAUUCUUAUCGACAAGGGCAGGCUGAGCCACCACGACAUCAGUAAGGCCGAUUUCUUUGUUGUUAUCACCCAUUACUGCUUUUUUCUUUUGUGAACUUUGACUGGGGAAGGAAUCUGUAGGACCUUUAGAUCUAGUGAAAUAAGAAUGAUCGGCCAGUGUAUCAACACAGAUCAGUUCUAACUACCUGUAGAGAAAAACAACUCAAAGGCAAAUCUAUUAGUAUUAGUUCUGGACGAAUAACACAAGAUAUCACAUAGAAGGCAUAUAAAUACAUAAGAGUUGUUUCGUUUGAGAACAUGUUAACCCAUAAAUAAUGGGGACUUAUUUUUUAAUAAACAGGAAUUUGCUCAUUUUAUUUUGAGGCUGGUGACUCAGAAAGGUUGAAUUGCGUUGAGCUAAGAUCUUCUUGCUGCAUCUCUCGCCAUCUGUUGAUGUGAGGUCAAUGUUUCUUUGUAGCAUGAAAGGGGGAAAAUAAAAAAAUUUAAAAGUUAGGGACGAGCCUUGGAAGGCUGCCUACGUAUCUCCAAAGGAGAAUUCAGGCCCAACGUAGUUCGAAUACACAAGAAAUUUUCAUUUUCAUUUAUUCAUUUCUGGUGAUUACAAGGAAAGUGAAAAACAGACAACAAAGCUCCUAAAAGAUAAAAUAUGCUUCCAUCUAAGUCAUUCUUCUUUUGAUUGUCGCAUUAAUCACGGGGGGUAAACACAUAUGCUUCGAGGGCAAUUUCUCAUUCCCUUCUUUCCACCGUCCCCGGAAAGGGGGACUAUAGACAAUUUCUUCCUCGGUAUCUUCUUCAGUAGCUCUAAGGUGAGUAUUUUCGGGACCACUAUUGGCUUCUUGAUUGAAGGAAGAGCAUUUUCCAUGUGACUUCCGAAGUGUCAUGGUUAUAUCUUUGUUGAAGACAUCGCGCUCCUUCCGCACAGCAACUGUCUUUUUACUUAUAACAUCGCAUUUUGUCAUAUUUGCUCCCAAUGUCGCGUCUAGUGCCGCAUUUGCUGCUCAUGCGACCGCGGUGGCAAACUCCACUUCUAUUCUCCUUUCUCUGGUUUCUUGGAUCUCUUGCCUGAGACGCUGCAAUUCCAUCCUCAAAUCCUCCGCAGUUAGCUCUAUGUCGAUACCCUUGCCUUUUUCCAUCUUAGCAGCAAUUUCACCUUUCCUGAAAUGAUAGAGUAAUAUUUUAGGAUUUGGUAGUAGGAUUUUAUUUCUGGCUGAGUAACUUAAGACUCAUGGAAUUUUUGUCGGACAUUUGGUAGUGACUUGUAUUUGGUAUUAGGGAAAUUUUCAAAAACAAUUCAGAAAGGAUUGGGCUAAAAAUGUCCUCAUUCAAAGCAACAAUAUCACAUAAAUAAUUAAAGCACAUAAGUAUAUAUCGCGCGUCCUAAACAAGUAGGGGGCCCUUUUGCACCAAGGGUAGGCCUAGCGUAUUUGAAAGAUGUAUGUGUAGAAUUGAACCAUUUUGUUACCUCCAAAGCAAAUUUCGCAUAUAAAAUUAUGUUCAAGAAGCGAAAAUAAGCAGGGAAAGUAGGAAAUAAACGAAAAACACAAAGGAAAGGCCCACGUAGGGAUCAUUUGAAAAGAUACCAAAAUACAAGAAAGGCAAGCCCAUGCAGGGGAAAAUAACAAUAAGUACAUAUAGAAAAACCCACGCAGGGGAGAAAUCCGCUAAGACUCUCCCGAUGGCCCAGCCUCUGAUCUGCUCCUCUUGUUUAGUGCCAUGAGAUGCUGAAGCUUAUAUUGAAUCAUUAGCAAGUAUCAUUCGCUCCGGCGGCCUUUCUCUUCCCAGUCUUCGAGACACAUUCUGCUUUUCUUAGCUCUAAUCCAUAAGUUAAGAUCUCCCAAAUCGCUUCUCAAGCUUUCUAAUUCUUAAAUUAUGCUCUCGAGGGCGUACUUGUCAUCCUCUUGCUUUCGGAGAAAUUUCUCGUGCAUUUCCUGGGCUUCUCUUCUUACCUCUCUUAGUUCUAUCAAAGUUUUGGACUCUUUGUUCUCCACACUGUGGUAACUGUUUGGAACUGGGGAGGAUAUACUUUGUAUAUUGCCCUUCAACCAAGCUUUGUAGGUUUCAUCGUACCCAGCGUUUGGACUCUUUGUCCUCCACACUGCGGUAACUGUUUGGAACUGGGGAGGAUAUAUUUUGUAUAUUGCCCUUCAACCAAGUUUUGUAGGUUUCAUCGUACCCAGCGUUAAAUCGGUCCGCGGCAAUGGUGCCGUUUCUCAUUUGUACUGCUCUUUUCCAUUCUCUCAGCAUCUCUGAAGCCUCAUGCACUCUAUCAUCCCCGAUGUCAAACAAUAGAUACGGUAGUAUGCUUCUAGGUGUGUAGUUUGUCUUCUUUCGAACUGCCUCAUGACUCGAAUGGGCGCAUACGGGCGGAUACCUCGAAUACCUGGUAGAGGAAGCACAAGUUGUUUUGUCACCCCAUACUAUGGCAUCUUUCGAGAUAAAACGGUUGAACAUCCACUGGAUAUUUUCUUGUCUCAACUUAGAGAAAAUUUGAGCCCAUCUUUCUCUAGUUCUCUUUUUUUCUAAGUAUGCCCAGAACAACAUGUCAUUCAAAUUCUUCAGAGCAUUAUGCUCAUCGAGGGUAUGGAGUUCUUGAGUUCCGUGUCUCUUUACCAAGUGACUCAUUAUCCACCAUUGGAGGAGAAGGUUACAACCCUGAAAGUAACAAUGCCCUUCCUUGCAUUUUCCCAAAGCACAGUACAUGUCGGAAAGGAUGACAGGUGCGAUAGGAUAAUACUUCACUUGUCCUUGGUUCUGAGGCUCGGGCCGUGUGGGAAAACCAUGGUGCCUAAUAGUGCGAUAGUAAAUGUCAAAGGUUUGAUCUUGUCCCAUUUUCUGAAAGUGACCCUGAACUCUUGGUUGUAAUUCGUAUAGAACCUCGCAUGCCCGAAUCUGACAUAGAGAUCCAUAAAAGAAACGUUAAAACCUUCGGCCCAGUAGGCGCAAUCCUUCUUAAUCCGAGCCAGUUUACAAUAUCCUCGAGGGUAGGCUUGUUAGGGAAUAGGAUGUUUUCCCAUUUUGUCACUCUUCCUUCAAGCCCUGUACCGACUGUGGCUAUUCCAUCCCGAAUUUCCUCAAUUAUCGGGGUAAUUUCCAUGGUUCCAAAUCGGAAUACCAUUUUCUCGUUGUCCCAAUAACCUGUGAGGACUUCAAUUAGCUCGGACCACCCGACCAUAUUGAUGAGUUCUGUUAGGGCCCCUAUAUAUUUGUUGAUGGCCCUUUUGUGAACCGUAGUGAGAUCGUUGUACCACAUCUUGAGCAAAACUGGGCUUCUACUACCAUGUCGAAUUUAGGAAAUUGAUCCAUACCUAAAAAAUAAAGCACGGUUAAGAUUUCCUCUCCCAAAUAGGAAACAAUCAGGUUUCCACACAUACAUCUUUCAAAUGUCAAAUAAUAUGAUAUGUCGUUAGGUCGUGGACCUUGGACAUGAUUUUUGGCGGUUUUACUAAUGGACUUAAUACACUUUGGGUAUUAAGCCGUCUUAGGCUAAUUCUUAGAUUUGGAUUUGGUUUCGCUCUACUCUAGGUUGACUAGAAUUGGUUUAGAAAUGACGAUUACCCAAGUCGAACAAACAACGGGGUGAAGUCUAAUAAACGACGCUGGAUGACAACAAGCCAACUAUUCGUUUAUCAUUUCCAAAGAAUUCAACUUGUUUUUUUUUCUUGAAGGACAGCCAUGGUAAGCCACGUAACCGCUUUUUUUCCUAAUGUAAUCUAUUUGCCGUUUGGCGAAAUCGGGUGCCAUGAAUGCCACAAUUCAAUAUAUGUGAUAGAUAAAACAAGUAGGCAGUUAAAACACGUAGCCAAAUAACUUAAUCUUAAGGUUAGAAUCAUUCAAGCCCCCAGCAGAGUCGUCAUUCUGUUUUAUUUAAAAACAUAAUUAGACUGAAUUAAGAGUCGCCACUUAAUUUUUAAGAGAAAAUUAAGAAAACCAUUUUUUCAAAAGAUUAAAACAGAAAUCUAAUGAAAGUAUUUAAAGGGAUUCGGGGUUCAUAUUAGCAUUUCGGGAAGGGUUUGAAGGCACCCAAAAUGCCCGCUAAUACGCGGUUAUCCGGUAAUUAAUUAUUUGGCUAAAUUCGUUUGAUUUAAUUUGAAUGGAACAAUUUUUAGAAUCGUUUUAAAAGGGGAAUGGGGGGAAAUACAGGAAUACUAUCUAAGUGAGAUAAUUUACAAUUUUUUUUUUUAAGUCUUGUUAAGAGAUGAUUGAUUUAGUUAAUUUUUUAAAGCGAAAUGGACAUCUUUCGGGGAUUUGAAUUGUUGAUCUUAAAAUUAACGGCUAAUAUUAACAAGUAAAUAAACAUAAUAAAAUAAAUAGGGAAAGAGAUUUGGGCCCAAGUAUGGUUUUUUCUGUCCGCCUAAACCAGUACUUUGGCCCAUUUUCAUUUUGGGUCUUCGGCCCAUUUGAGUCACAUGCACCUGUCCUGUACUAACGCAAACGAAAUAUUUUUCUUUGGGUCUUAGGCUCAAUUUUUCACCUGCCCUAAAUUCUAACAAAAUAAUAAACAUAAUGACUAAAUAGGGUUAGGCCCAACAAUAACAAAAUACAAAUUUUGUAGAAAGAGUGGGUCUUUGGCCCAAUCUUAUCAAUUCUCCUCCGUUUUCCCAUUUUUUCACCUUCGAAACCUGUUCGUCGAUUUUUAUAGUUUGCUCUCGAUGGGCAGCGAGCGGGGAUGGGACGACCAAGAGGCAAUUAGCUUCCACCACCACAAAUGACGAAUCCGAUGAACUCACGCAGACAAAAAAAAAACAAGAAAAAAUUUGACCAAACACCGGAACUAUUAUCUCUUUUCGUUUGAAAUGUAUUCUUCAGUACGUAUUUGAAAAUUUUCUGUUCAAACUCUCUCUGUAUUUUUCACUCCAAAAUAUCUCACAAAAAAUUCCCCCCUCUUCUACAAUGAAUAAAAGCCAUUAAAUAGAAGGAAACUAGGGUUCGAAAAUAGGGAAAACGAUCAAAAAUCUUUGAUAAGAAGGGGCCUAUUUUGAAAUUCAAACUCCUAAUUCCUUUCACCAAAUCGGCCAAACAUCCCUUUUUCUUAAGUUUAGUCCCAUUCUGGAAGAGGAAAUGGGACAGACGCGUGCUUCCCUUUGUUGUUGCGGUUUGUACCAACUGAAAGGGACGUGAGGUAGAUGUCGUUGACGCCUUUGGACUGUCGAUUCCGGGUCGAUUUGUUGGACUGGAUUGCAAUUUGGGUCUCGUUCUCGCUGGGCCGAUGCUGCUGGGCUGCUAUUCACGAUUUUGAGCUCAUACUGCUGGGUUUUGCGAAGAAGAAGAACGAUGCAGGGGUGGGGUCAUUCGGGUACUGUUUGUUGUUGUCGACUGAAUUGUUGUGAUGAAUUGUUGGUGGGGUCUUUUUGGAUUUGGAAUUGGUAUUGAUCUGGGCCAUUUGAGAAAGAAUUUGGCUGAAGAAAUAUUGAAUUGGAUCUGCUGGUGGGUUGUGGGGCUAAUGAAUUGGUGGGCUGGAAAAUUAUUUGGUAUUGUUGGUAUAUAAUGCUGGAAAAUGGAGAAGAAGAUGGGCCCAAAUAAUUGAUUUUUUCUCUUAAAAUCAAUAGGCUAGAGUUGAAUUUGAGCUUUGGCAAUAGGGAUUUAUGUUAUAGCCAAAUGGAAAUUAAAAAUGUAGUCAAACUAAAUUAAUUAGGAUAAGUUCGGCUAGUAAUUCAAAUAAGACAAAUUGAUAUAAUUAACUAAGGAGCAUCUUAAUUUUAACGAAACAAAAUAAUUAGCUAAAUAAAACUAAAGACCCAAAAUAUAAAAUAGCAAUUUAGACAAAAUUAAGUUAAUAAAGUUUUUUAAGUAAAAACUAAAAUCUUUUUGAAACGAUUUUUGAAAUGUUUAUAAAAUAUACUAAUUAUAUACAAAAUAUAUAUAUAUUAUUUAAAAUUUAUAAAAUUAAUUAAAGUAACUUGAAAAAUAGUUGAUCUUUAUAAAAACUAAUUAUUUCAAGUCGCCUGGAAUUUAGGAAGCUCAAAGAUCAAUUAAUAUCGGGGAGGGUCAAAAUUGGGUGUCAACAAACGCAUCUAAAUGUUCAAAGAUGAAGGUAUUCAUCAAUAUCCAUAAUUUUAUAUUUUAUGUAUCACAAACUCGAAUCAUUUAACUGUUUGAUCAGCAUUGCUUUGAAAAGGAUACAAAAAUGUUAUUUCAUGUAAUGUAUCAAUAACUUCUUAGUGUUUUCAGGUUGUUCCAUCGUCUGAAUAUAUUUUCUCAGUGUAUGAAGAUGAAAGAAGAUACAUUGUAUGCCUUGAGCAGAAAGUAUGCACAUGAAUAUUAUAGAUAUGCACUCAUAUUGCUCUGAUUACUACAAGUCUGAUGCAUUAAUAAAAACUUAUGAGGUUGCAAUGGUUCCAAUGCCGAAUAAGGAGGAUUGGUCAGUUCCAGACUAUGUAUUAGAUGAAAUUGUCUUGCCACCUAGGUACAGUAGGUUGGCUGGACGACCAAGAAAAUGAAGAAAGAAAAAUGUGGAUGAGAAGAUAACAGUGAACAAGAAUUCUUGUGGGCGCGGUGGACAAGAAGGUCACAACAGGAGAACUUGUACUUUCUUCCCGAAAGAGAAGUGAAAAUAUUUUGUUAAAAAAGACAUUUGUGUUCAUUUCAAUAAAUUGCACUUGUAGAGAUUUUUCACUUUAAUAUGUGGAUUAAAUAAAGUGUAUUGUUUACACAAUCUAAUUUAAUACAUUAAUUGUUUUGAUAUUUGUUGUUCAACUAAAUAAUUUGUUGAGAUUUGUGUGUUAAUGUUAUAUUAAAUAUAAAAUUAUUCUUAUAUUGUUGAAUAAAUAAAUAAUUCUAAACGUAUAAACUUUGAAAAAUAAUUGUUAUGUAAUUGCAUCAAAAAUUGAUUCACAAUUUGAUUCAUAAUUUAAGCAAAAUAAAGUGUCUCAAAUUUGACUUUUACAAAUGUAUAAGAUAUGUAUCGUAUACAUUACUGUUUGUUGUAUCAUAUACUAGGAAAACUAGUAAUGAAUCAUAUACAUUAAAACUGAAUUGGGUACAUUAGUAAUUUUGAUACAUUCUUUCUUAGUAGUCUUGUUGUUCAAUUUAAUAGUUUGUUACAAUUUGUGUGUUGAUGUAUCAUAUACAUGGAUAUAAUUCAUGUGCCAGAUACAUGUAUGUAAUUGAUAUAGGUGAAUAAAAUUCAUGUACCAUAUACAUUAAACUUACGUAUCAUAUACUUAAUUUCAUAUCUAAACUAUUAAAUUACUUUAACUCAAUCAGUAUGGAAUGUGAAGCUUAACGUUAUAAAGCAACAACGUAUAAUGUAUCUAAAGCAAUAUAUUGAAAACACAAAUUUUUAAUAAAUAACAAAAUAUUGUAAUAUGAAUAAGUUUUUAGAGAAACAGUCUAAAGCUUAAGUGAAUUUGUCUUAAAAACAAGAAAAAACAUAUAACAAUGUUUAAGCAAACAUGGUUGAGUACUACGUGUUAACCAAAUCUUCUUCUGAUGGUGCUGUGAAUUCACCCUUAGACUUUUGUGGAUCGUCAUUCUCACUAAUGUAUCCACCCUUGGCCUUGUCGCUGUCGUAUCUCCACAACAAUGUUGCAUAUCUAUUGCGUAGGUAACUUGAAACAUAACCAUCAGGUGGUAUAACAAGUUGGUCACUCAAAAACUCUGCAAAUGUAGCAACAUAUAACUCGCAGUCCCUACAACAAAAUGCAGAAUAUAAAUUUGUAAAAAAAGCUUACACAUAUGAUUAUAGUCAAGAAUAUAAAUACUUACAAACUAUCACUUUCUUGUUGCAUGAUGUCUUGGGAGAAUUCAACAUUGAAAGGAUGAUGUAGCUCUAAAAGUGUACCAAUUUCUUUGUCCUUAUAUGCAUCAAGUUUUGCCCAAUUUGUUCGCUCAGUUUUUUCAAAGAAAUCACUGUCAAGGAGGUAAGAAGGUAGCAUCCUUGAUAAUUUUUUUAUCUCCCCAGAAUAUACUUUUUUUAUUGUGCCUAGAGAAGAGACAUACACACGUAUCAACCUCUGUUUCAAUUCAACAACAGCCAACACCCAAUGGAAUCGUCCAUCACAAUUAACCAGAAUGUAAACAUCAUCCACAAGAUGCCAUGGUAAUCCAGCUAGUAUUGAAAAUCAUUUCAUGAUGUUGGUGAUUGACCUCUCAUGUACAGAUACAACCGAUGCACUGUCAAUGUGUUCUUGGUACUAAUAUCAUCAUCAGCCUCAGUGUUAUAGUACCUUUCAUGGGUAUUGUGGAUGUGUGUAUUGAACAAACAAUUGACUGUUGUGUAUUUGUAUUGAUUCAUGUUGCGAAGUUUUAAUUUUUUACGAAGGUAGUAGAAAACAACAUCGAUGUGCUACACAAAAUAUUAGAAACAUAAUUAUACAUUUGAAAACAAAAAUGAUGAAAAAAAAUGAUAGACUGGUAGUGGUAUAUGAUACUUAAAUGUAUCAUAUACAUUAAAAUAAAUGUAUCAGAUACAUUAAAUAUACAUAUACAUGGCAACUUUACCUGAUCAGUCCAAUAUUUUUUGGGCUGUGACAUGGAAUAGAACCAGUUUUUGUCGAUUGAAAAUACAACAACAAUAUCCAUCGUGUCAAACCCAAAUGAAGAGGCUUUUGAUCUUGGUUUCCUGUAUUAUUAAUUGUAUUGAAGAGUUACUAUUACAAAUUGGAACAACUGUAGAAAAUUAUCAAAAAUAAAUACAAAACUUACUUAUUGGCAUGAGUUUUGAGAAGACCUCUAUUAAUCAACUGAAUAUACUCAUCAAUCAGAUAAGACAGUUGUUGGUUUGUAAUCCCACAGCCUUCAAAUGGAAAAUAUGGAAGAAUGUCAUCCUCCAAGACCUCUUUUUCCUUUUCGCUUGACCCAAAAGAAGUCAAAUAAGGAGAUUUGAAUAUUUUUUAAGGCAUCCUGUUACGUGCCAGAGGAGUAUUUGUAUCGCUUUGAACAACAAUCUUUGAGAUUGAAAUAUCAAUGGGUAAAUUGACUGUCCGAAAGGAAACUGUGGUUGCCGAUUAACUUAUGUGAAUUUACCGCACUAACUGGUUUAGCAGAAAUAGGCAAUUUCCUAGAUCAACAAUAAGUGUAUCUAUGGCUUCUCGAGUUCCAGAUGAUAUUGUACCAGAUGUGGUAGAAUCCUAUAUGAUUUAAAUUGAUAUUUUAAUAGGGUUUAAUUAACCAGAUGAAAGAUAAAUGAUACAUGAAAUAUAAAUAAUAAUUUUACCGAUGUAUCAAAUGUAACCGGAUCUGGCACAGAUUGACUGAUGUUCUGUUGAACUUUAUUUGAAGCAUCUUCAUUUUUUGUUCCUUCAAAGAGAUGUUGAGGCACUUGUCCUGAUGCAUCAUCCUAAAUAACAACAUAUUGUACAAGUAAUGAUACAUUAAACUGUAAAGUAUCAUAUACACACAAACGUUAAUGUAUCAAACACAACUUACAUUAAACUGCAAAUUACACACAACUUUUAAUGUUUCAAAAACUCCUGAUGUAUCAAUGUAUCAUAUACACACAACUUUAAUGUAUCAACACUGGUUUGUAUCUUGAAACGAAAUGUAUCAUAUACACAGAAAAAAAUGCAAAGUAUCAUAUACACAUAAAUUGAUUUAUAAAACAAUGUUGAUGUAACAAAAGUGAUAUGUAUCAUAUACACACAAAUUAAACUACAAUGUAUCCUAUUGACACAAUUUGAUGUAUCAAUACAAAGUUGAUGUAUAAUAAUAUUAAAUUUUUUUAUGACAAUAGUACCUUCUUAUGCUCAGUUAUUUUUGCAGUAUGAUGAGUAUUUGCAUCUGAGGAUUGGAGUUCUAAAACAUCCUUCAUUUCUUGUUGAUUCUUCAAUGUAUCAUCAAUCUAUGUUUUCAAAAUGAUUUUUUUUAAAUAAAUAUGUUACUGAUACCUUGUUUAAUUUGAUAUACGCAAUGAAUAGAAAACUAUUCUCUACACCAAUAGAGUAACAUGAACCUGAUUUUCAACUUCAAAAUGUAUUCAUAACAUGAAAAAUCAUUGAUAAAAUAAUUUUCUCCACAAAAAGAUGAAACAUUUAUUGAGUCUACAAAUAUUUAAACUUUAUAACUCAAAGAAGUUGGAUACUUAUUGUGAAAACAUUCUUUUUGUAUUUUGAUUUGCUUUUCCUUCAUCAUUCCAAAGAGACUUCAAGAUUAUUUUAAGCCAAAAAAAAAAAAAGCAAGAUUAGAAAAAUAUGAAUUUGAAAAAAUCUCACUAGUUCCUACUUUUUUUUUAACCUUUCUUAAUAUAUAUGUCCCCAAACGUUUGUGCCACAAGAAGGGACGUAUCUAGAGGGGGUGUCGUGGAUUCACGUGGAUCCAUGCUUUUCUUUUUAGAUCAUAUAUAGAAGUGUUAUAUUUUUUAAAAAUAUAUUUAAAUACAUAUGUGUAAAUCCACAUUCAAAGUAUCAUAUAAUAAUAUGGUGUUGCUUGUGUGUACCUCUCUAAGUGAGGAUAAAAAUUCAUACCUUAUAUCUAUCUUGUCUUUUGGAGUUACACCUCUCCAAGCGAUUAUUGGUUACACUUGGCGUUUCAACUAAUUUUUAUUUUGUUUUUUUCUUUAAUCUUUCGAAAAUUUUCAAGUGUGUUAUAUUGAAAAAUUCCUAAAAUUUUUAGCACUGUAUAAUUUUUAUAUAAGUAAAUUAAAUAUGUAUAUUAAAAUUUAUAACUUGUAGUAUUAUAUAUUUUGGACCUGUAAUUUUAAAAAUUUAAUGGCUCAUAUUAAGAACAUAAAAGUCAAACCAAUCAAAUUUAUAUUUAAGAUGCAUUUUUUCGUAAUCCCAUCUUAUCGAAAUCCCGAAUACACCUCUAAAAGCAAGACAUUCAUCUAGUAUUGAACUAUACUUAAUUCCAACAUCAUGGUGAGAGCGAUAUAAUCAAAACAUUAUGAAGUUUCAGUUUAUAUAUAAGUCACUAAUUAUAAGAACACCCAAAUCAUAAGAAAUGGUAUUCUUUUACAAACUAAAACAUUCAUGUUCAAAAUCAAAAAAACAAAUUCAGAUCCAUCAAAAACCUUGAAGAGGAAAUUGAAUUUCUAGAAAUAAAAAGAACAUAUGAAUAGUGGUUAUUAAUCAUAAAUUCAUUAUCCAUAUUAAUCGGGGACAGGAAAAUUGACAUUUAGCAACAUAUAUAAGACUAGUAGUACCAAAUCCCAAAAUGUAACAUUUCCAUUUUUAUUUUUUAAAAUUUUCAUGUCUGGGGUGUUAUAUAUCGGAAUAUGCACACAAGAGGGGGGCUUGGUCUUACCUCCGAAUAUAACACAAGGAUACAAAUUUAUCCUAAAAAAGAGGGCAGAACAAGCUAUCUUAGACCGUCCAACCAGGGGCGGCUCUAAUAAAUCGGUGGCCUAAAGCAAAAUUCGAAUGGAGGUCUUAAAUUCGAAUAUAUAUUUUUUAUGAAGUUUAUUAUAGCCAACUAUUUAAUCUUUCUUGAGGCAUAGUACUCAUAAUUUGUCAAACUUCUAUUACUUCCUUGCUCUUUUACGAAAAAAUUAUAUUUUCUACAAAUUAUACGCGAUAUUUAAAAAAAAUAUAUGUAUAACCUAUUGUAUUUUUUAAAAAUGAGGCCCCUCAUAUUUUGGGGCCUAAGGCAGUUGCUUUUUUUUCAAAGCUGUAGAGCCGCCACUGCGUCCAACCCUUGGAAUAUUAUUUUAGAACAUUUCCAUUAAGAUACACAUAUAUGUAUAUAAUAUACAUCAGCAAUAUUAUUUGUAUGUAUGAUACUUGUAUCUUCUGCUAAUUCUUGUUUCCAGAGGACUGGGUGAAGCCAUAAGGUGACACCAUAGUCAGCCUGCAAAACAUACAUAAUCAUAAUGAGUUAUGCUAUAUUUUUCGAUUUUAGUAUUACUUGUUUCUUUUAUCGUAGUUAUCGUAUUAUUCAUUAUAUAUUGCUACUAUUCUCUUCUUCAAAAUAUUCACUAACGUAUUUGCUUUAUAUACUUGAUUCUUUUUUAAAAAGAGAUACACGUUUUACUUGAAAUGAAAGUCUAUCGAAAACAACUUCUAUAUCUUCACAAGAUAGUGUUGUGUACACAACACCCUAAAAAUGUGUUUUGACUACUCAAAUAGUAUGGUACCAUAUGGUGGUAUGGAGGGAAUAACACAUUAUUACCCUUGAGGUGUAGUGAGUUAGCUAGGCAUGUAACACAAUAUUAUUGUUCUAGGGUCGUUUGAUAAACAGAUUAAAUUAUUUUGAGAUUAUCAUCUUUGGAUUAAUUUAUCUCGUUUCUCUUUAUUCCAUAUGGGAGAUGAGAUAAAAUAGCUUAGUACUAUAAAUCAAAUACAAUAUAAAUUUUAUUUAAAAUUUAAUUCUAAGAUAUUUCAUCUUAUUCCGCAUAUAAAACGUGAUUGCUUUUAAAUAGAUUUGAGAUUGAUAAAAGAAUCAUUUAUGUGAUGAUAAAAUGACUUCACCGUAUUGCUCACCCAAAUCAUGUGAGCUCUGAGGUUUGUUUUCAUUCGUGAUGAAAAUAUAUAGCACCAACUAUGCUUCUCAAUAUUUCUAAAUCCACAUUUCCUAUAGGGUGGUUCAAGGAUUCAUCAAAGCUUAAUAAAAUUUUUUUAUAAAUAUAUUAAAAUAUUUAUUUGUAAAUUCAAUUAUUAUCGUAUAUAACCAAAAAUUAUUGAAUCGAUACAUUUUAAAUUUUGAUCUGCCACUGUACGAGAGACGAAUAUUUAGCUAAGUUAAAAAGCUUCAUUUCCUUCGUAUUUGAGUGUCCUAACAAGAGACGGUUAUCUUCAAUCUUAUAGUUCAAAGAAUUUUAGUACCAAAUGAAAGACUUAAAAACUCUACUUCUUGAAGGAAUUAAUACAUUGAUAUAACUAGAGCCAUCACAAGGGGUUUAGCCCAUGGGGCCGGUCCAACCCAACCAGUUAUUUUGGUAGGGUUAGGAUAGAAUUUUUUAAGCUCAUUUAAAACUAGGACUUAUAAGCCCUUGGCCCUUGAGGCUUGAUUAGGGUCGGCCCAUGGGCCAAAACUUUUUAUUUAAGGGCAAAUUACAACAAUCUCACUAGUAUAUAAUUUAAUUACUUAAAUACACACUAUGUUGUAAUAUUAUAAAUCUUACCAGAUUAUGGUACGUCCAAAUACAUGUAUUUUGGAAUAUAUGAACUCAAAAUUAGGUUAAUUUAUUCAAGAUACACUUUAUCCAAGUAGAUUCUCAUGUAUCUAGGAUACAUAGACGAAUCUCGCGCCCUCACCUCCCUCCCAUCUUGCUUGUCACUCUCUUAUCUCGCUCGCGUUUCUAGUAUGCGAGAUGCAUGCUAUUUACACUAGAUUUUUUGGUAGUAUUAUUGAAACAACACCAUUGUUUGUCAUAUUUGAUUUGAAAAUCUUCUCAUUUUCUUUGAUGUUAUAGAAUUAUAAGUUUAAAGAAAAAAAAAGAAGGGCUAGCCCGCUCCAGCCCUCGGCCCUUCUAGGAUUGGGUUGGGUUGAGUAUUCUCAGGCCCUACCAAAUGAAGGGCCGACCCACCUUAGCCCUUCAAAUUUCUUGGCCCGCGAGGCUUGGGCCAGGCCGGGCUGGACCAGCCCUUUUUGACAGCUCUAGAUAUAACUCUUUUAAAGUCGUUUUGAUUGGUGGAAUGAGAUAGAUAAGAAUAUUUUAUGAGAUUACUUUAUUCUAUCUUUUAUAUGAAAUUAUCAAAUGUAAGAUAAAAUAAUCCCAUUGAAUAUUCAAAAAUUAUUAUUCUUAUCUCACCAACUAAACAAACAUUUAUUUAAACAUGAGUUUUUUUUUUAUAUAUAUAUAUCUGAAAGUUAGUUGAGUGUUUGCACGAGUAAAAUGAGACUGAAAAAAGUUAGGAAUUUCUAGAGUUAUGAACCUGGUGCAAGUAGAGAGUGCGCGUUGGUAAAUGUGCUAACUAUUCUAAUUGCAACUUCCUGAAUGGUCUGAAGAUUUGCAGGAAUGGAAUAGAGAAAUGCAGAUUAAAUGUACUUAUAAUGGUGUUCAAUUAUCAGAAACAGAAUUUCCCAAAGAUUGGUUGAGAGACGGGAUUCAGAUAAAAAUUUUAUUUCCUUUUUGUCUGAAACCUUGGCAUAUAUCUAAACUGUACCCCUCCCGCGGAGAGCUAAUGAAAAAGCAAAAACAAAAAGAUGAUUUUUGUUUUUUAACAGUUUGGGGAAUGGAAGCUGAACUUCCCUUUGGUUCUCCCCGAAAGCGCCCUUCCUUUUUUGAGCCCAUUUUUAAGGAACUCGAAAAAAAAAUUGGAAAAUUCAAAAAGAAAUAUUUUCUAACUCUAAAAAUUUUCAAAGGAAAAACAAAAUUAUUUAGAAGAGUUUCAAAAGAAACCAAAAAAUGGUUUAUCAAAAGUAUUGGAUUUAUAAAAAAAAUAAAAAAAGAACUUUCAAAAGUAAAUCCAAUUGUAUUAUUUAGAUUCAAAGAAAUAUCUGAAUCCAAUGAAACAAAAAAAGAAAAAGAUUAUCUAAUUAGUAAUCAAAUAAUUAACGAAUCAUUUAGUCAAAUUGAAUCUGGAAAUUGGCCAAAUUCUUCACUGAUAGAAACAAAAAUGAAGGAUUUGACUGAUAGAACAAGUACAAUCAAAAAUCAAAUAGAAAGAAUUACAAAAGAUAAAAAGAAAGUAACUCCAGAAAUAGACAUUAAUCCUAAUAAAACAAAUAAUAUUAAAAAACUCGAAUCGCCAAAAAUAUUUUUCCAAAUAUUACAAAGAAGAAAUACUCGAGUAAUAUGGAAAUUCCAUUAUUUUCUCAAAUUAUUCAUUCAAAGAUUAUACAUCGAUCUAUUUUUAUCUAUCAUUAAUAUUCCUAGAAUUACUACACAACUCUUUCUUGAAUCAACAAACAAAUUGAUUGAGAAAUUCAUCUCCAAUAAUGAAAUAAAUCAAGAAAAAAUUACUAAUAAAAAAAAAAUUCACUUUAUCUUUAUUUCGACUAUAAAAAAGUCACUUUAUAAUAUUAGUAAGAAAAAUUCACAUAUUUUUUGUGAUUUAUCCUACUUGUCACAAGCAUAUGUAUUUUACAAAUUAUCACAAACCCAAGUUAUUAAUUUGUCUAAAUUUAGAUCUGUUCUUCAAUAUAACACAACGUCUUGCUUCCUUAAGACUAAAAUAAAGGACUAUUUUAAAACACUAGGAAUAUUUCAUUCGGAAUUAAAACAUAAGAAACUUCAGAGUUAUAGAAUCAAUCAAUGGAAAAACUGGUUAAGAUGGCAUUAUCAAUACGAUUUAUCUCAGAUUAGAUGGUCUAGAUUAAUGCCAAAAAAAUGGCGAACUAAGGUUAAUCAAAGUUGUAUGGCUCAAAAUAAAAAUAGAAACUUAAACAAAUGGAAUUCUUAUGAAAAAGACCAAUUAAUUCAUUACAAAAAAGAAAAUGAUUCGGAACUCUAUUCAUUAUCAAACCAAAAAGAUAAUUUUAAAAAAUGUUAUAGAUAUGGUCUUUUAGCAUAUAAAUCAAUUAAUUAUGAAAAUAAAAGUGACUCAUUUUUUUCUAGAUUACCCUUUCAAGUAAAGAAGAACUUAGAAAUUUCGUAUAAUUCCAACACGUCCAAACACAACUUUGUUGAUAUGCCCGGCAAUCUUCAUAUCAAUAAUUAUCUAAGAAAGGUCAAUAUUCUAGAUAUAGAAAGAAAUCUCGAUAGAAAAUAUUUUGAUUGGAAAAUUAUCCAUUUUUCUCUUAGACAAAAAGGAGAUAUUGAAGCCUGGGUUAAGAUCGAUACCAACAGUAAUCCAAAUACUAAAAUUGGUAUUAAUAAUUAUCAAAUAAUUGAUAAAAUUGAGAAAAAAGGGGUUUUUUAUCUUACAACUCAUCAAAAUCCAGAAAAAACUAAAAAAAAUUCGAAAAAAGUCUUUUUUGAUUGGAUGGGAAUGAAUGAAAAAAUAUUUAAUCGUCCCAUAUUGAAUCUGGAAUUUUGGUUCUUCCCAGAAUUUGUACUACUUUAUAAUGUCUAUAAAAUAAAACCGUGGAUUAUACCAAGCAAAUUCCUUCUUUUUAAUUUGAAUACAAAUGAAAAUGUUAUUCAAAAUAAAAACCAAAAACAAAACUUUUUUCUACCAUCAAAUAAAAAAAUAAAGAAUCGAAGUCAAGAAACAAAAGAACCCCCAAGUCAAAGAGAGCGUGGAUCAGAUAUAGAAAACAAAGGAAAUCUGAGCCCUGUUUUUUCAAAACAUCAAACCGAUCUUGAAAAAGAUUACGUGGAAUCAGACACAAAAAAGGGUCAAAAUAAAAAACAAUACAAAAGCAACACGGAAGCAGAACUAGAUUUGUUCUUGAAACGUUAUUUGCUUUUUCAAUUGAGAUGGAACGAUGCUUUGAAUAAAAGAAUGCUCGAAAAUAUCAAGGUAUAUUGUCUCCUGCUUCGACUGAUAAAUCCAACCAAAAUUACUAUAUCGUCAAUUCAAAGGAGAGAAAUGAGUUUGGAUAUAAUGCUGAUUCAGGCAAAUUUACCUCUUAGAGACUUGAU
This 64385-nucleotide long non-coding RNA is filed under the name Solanum tuberosum (potato). RNAcentral's name for it is "long non-coding RNA (STUB_LNC001311)". The stretch from base 39973 to 40059 matches the Rfam family "MIR8024 microRNA precursor family". The record is from RNAcentral. Lineage: Eukaryota; Viridiplantae; Streptophyta; Magnoliopsida; Solanales; Solanaceae.